Molecule: long non-coding RNA, 68424 nt
Filed under: Ananas comosus (pineapple)
Lineage: Eukaryota; Viridiplantae; Streptophyta; Magnoliopsida; Poales; Bromeliaceae
Description: long non-coding RNA (ACOM_LNC032023)
Source: RNAcentral
ACCUUCUUGAAAGUUGAGGGGCUUAGAACUGGCUUUGAUAUCAGUUUGUUUGAAAGAAUGAUACGACAGAAAAGGUUCAGAAAUAGUUAAGAGAGAGAGAGAGAGAGGGUAUAAAGGCUUCUUAGACAAGCAAAGUUCAAGAUAGUUCUAUGCUGGAGAGACUCUUGCCCACAGAGUUGCAAGGGAAAAAAGCCACACAGCUACCAACAUUCCACUGUGCACAUAUGUAGAUAUCUCCACAAUAAGCAUGAGAUUAGACAACAUUGACACAUCCCUAAUCAUAAUAAUCUUUUAGGAUGGGUCAGUCCAAAUCAAGGUUACGAGAGAAUAAAAUAAAUUAGCAAUAAUAAUGACUUAUUGUGGUACUUCAUCAAUAUUGAAGAACAAGCAAACAACAAACAUUGUCCUUCAUUUUUUUAACUCUCAAAUUUCAAUAAGCCCAAUGCUUUUACACUUUUUUCUUUUUUUUUUUUUGAGAGAUAUGUAGCAUACUAUCCGCCUAGAAAUGUAAAUCAACUAGAAUUCGAACUUGGGUCUCGAGUACCAACCACCAAACCCUUUGCCACUUGCUCUAGGGACGGUCGGUAAUGCUUUUACACUUGAAUAUUAAAAAGUUCUAUACAAAUGAGAUACGGUUACAUUUGCAAGACUACUUAGCUUAGCUAGAGUUUUUGUGGAAGAGCGCUUCUGAAUAAAGCUAUCGAAUAAGCAUUAAUAAGAUAUUUUCAUCAGAUUCACUCCAGAGGUUCUCACUGUAACAAAAUUAGAAGCGUUGAAUGAGAAUUCUCCCUUUGCGAUUCACAAACUUAUUUUAACCUUUUGACACAACAAGAAAUGCAUGCUCUAAACAUUUUGUUUACUGAGAAAGUUUCAGUUACUAUUGUUUCAUCAAUAAAGCCAUUACAAAGCUCUAAAAGCUUCGAUGUUUGGAUUUUUUUGGUCAAAUUUAAAUAAAGCAGGUCAAGUGCAAAACUUCAAGACAUGCCUAACACAAGACUUUCCCUCAACACACUCUCACCACAUACACACACAUAUAUACACACACACACCCCAUCACUACACCAAGGAACUUAGACAAGCAAUUAGUGUCCAAGGAAAGGGGAAAAAAAACCAAAAGGAAAGGAGAAAAAAAAGAAGAAACAUGGCCAUGAAGAGAAACGCAGCUGUGAAGAGAGCAGUGCAAGUGCUCCAAAGAAGCAUAUCAUGCUCUAAAAACAGGAGCCCAUUUCUCUCCAAUGGCAUAGUCCCGAAGGAUGUGAAAGAGGGCCACUUUGUAGUCAUAGCAGUGUGUGAUGAGAAGCCCCCCAAGAGAUUUGUGGUCUCCUUGAGCUGCCUCUCCCACCCUUUGUUCCUGAACCUCCUCGAGCUCGCCGCCGACGAGUUCGGGUUCCGGCACGACGGCGCCCUCGCGGUCCCGUGCCGACCCUGCGAGUUCGAGAGGAUCAUCAACCAGAUGUAACGGAUCAUGAAAAUGAGGAGAGGAUCAGGAAUGAGGAUUAAUGAUGAGUUUAUGUUGUAUAGAUAUAUAUAUAUAUAUAUAUAUAUAUAUAUACAUGUUCUUCACUGUUUUGAGCACAUUUAGUAAUUAGUUUUGGUAUUGAUAAUAUAUGUUCCAUGCAUGUUGCAUGGACUAGAUUAGAAAUUAUUAACAUUUUAAACUACUGAUCAUUGUAAUAGGUUAAUAUGCGCAUGACUCAAUCAGAGAAAGUUAUAUAUAUUGUUUGAUCAGUUGAUAUCAAUAAUUUAUUUUUGUUUUUAUUUUGUAUGCGUCCCCUUAAUCAGGGACUCGAUUGUAAAGUUUGAAAGAAUUAGAGAUCAAACAAAAUAUAAAAAAAAGUCAUAAAUUGUUUGGAUGUAUGGAUUGCAAUGCUUAUUACGCGAAGAGAAUUAAAAAUAUACGUAGACACCAUGUAUAUAAUUUACACUCACUUUUAAGAUAUAUGAAUAGUAUUGCUUAUUACGCGAAAAGAAUUAAAAUGAAACACCGCCAAGUAUAGCAAAUUUUGACACGAACACGUUAACUAUUUUUUUUCAAAAAUAAAUUUACAUUUAAUAGUUGUCCACACCUUUUCAACUGAUAUAAUUGAUAAUUUCAUUAAUUCUAACCAUUAUUAUCACAAAAAUCGUUAAGUUUAAUAUAAUUUUGAAUUAAUUCGAAAGAAUAACUCAAAAGUUAAUGUUUUCACAAAGUUGAGGGGUGCAAUUCAACUUGUCUAUAGGUGAGGGGGUGUCUGUAUAUUUUACAUCCCCUCUUACCCUGCGCCCACUCCCGACCUUUUUUCUUUUCCGUGGAUUUUUUUUCCCCUUUCUAAAUCUCACUCUCAGGUACGUCUUAGGGUUCUAAUCGAUCGAAAAUCUCCUCUCUACUUGCUAAUUUUUCAUAUUCGGCAUCAAACAUUUAAUUUUUACCUGCAAAAUUGCUCUACGAAAUCGAAUACUACACCUAAAUUUUCCUAGAGCGACCUAAAAUUUAGAAUCGAUUGAUUAAAUAGUUGAGAAAAAUUCUCCUUGGAGAUCCUUACUACAUUAUUUGAGUACCAAUUUGGCAAAUUUUGCAUUCUAUAAAUGAAAAAUUGCAUCCUCUUACUUAUGUUUCUGAUCCUUAGGGGAUGAGUUUUAGUUGUUGAAUACGUUUGUUUGUUUGUUAUCUUUUUGAUUUGUUAUUUAAUUAGCUCGAUUGUGAUGAAGCUUUGUUUUCUGUUGUAAAACGAUAUGAAAUAAACGUUGUUCUCAAAAACCUUAAGCUACUAACGAAUGCGUGUAGUGUGUAGAGGAGGGGAAAAAAUAAGGUGAUUUAGUCUAAAAGUGCUAAUUUUGAAAUAGACCAUUCAAUUAUUUUUCAAACUAUUCUUGUGAUGGGUCACUGUUGAUUUGCUUAAACCAAUUGAAAUUAGUAGUUUCAACUUCACUAUGUUAUUCCGAUUUGCUUCCGACCAGUAGAGAUUCAUCAACUGGAGUAUUUUGUUGUGUGGCUUAUGAAAUACUGUAAAUAACAUCUGCGACUGUAACGAUGGUCGAUUGCUUCAUUCUUGGUUAUGUAGAAGGCAAUACAUGCAUGUUAAAACUAUCAUUGUAACCAUGUACAUAAAAAUAGUGAGCACGCUCGUUGAAGUCCAUGUUUCAGAUGCACAACAGAUGAAUCUUUUUAUCAUUCACAUCAAAGCUUAAAAAAAAAAAAAGCUUGAUCUUGUCCUUCACCUCUUUUGUGAAGUGUUCCUGCAAGUGAAAAGGCAUUAAUCAUUCUUGCGUUUAUGAAUUUCUAAUGCAUCGUCGCCUUUUUCUUCGUCAAAUCCCUCCACUACAAGCCCUUUCAACGCUCCGAGCCCCUAAUAUUUUCACGAGUUCGUUAGGGUGACAAGGAACAACAAGUACCCCUGCUUGUUUGAACCCGAAUUCUUCCUCUGCCGACUCCAACACUUUGAGGAACUCGGGUUUUGAGAGGUGAGCUACCUCCACAAUGAACCUCUGAUACUUCUCAUCUUUAACGGCGUGAACUGCGAAAUGCCCUUCCUUCACAUCUUCAGGGACUCCACCGUCAGAUUUCAGGAAAACUCUUCUUUUAAGCUUUUCCAUCACAUUUUUUAGCUUGACCAUGGCUAAUAGUUGUGGAUAUUGCUUUGAGCUACCUUUUGGGUUUGAUUUGCUUCAUUCGCAAUCAAAUGGUUGUAUUUAUACUGCUGAAACAUGAAUCUGAGGCAUUUUAAUUAUCUGACCUUACCGGGAUAAUAAUGUUCACGUGGGCGGUCUAUUAGUAAAGAGAGAAUAAGAAGCUAGUAAGUGCAUCCAACGCAGGUUAGGCGAAGUUGCAUGAAAAACUUAUUGAGAUUACUUGGACACAUGCGGCAGAGUCCACUUAUGCACCAAGUAGGGGUGAUUUCGUUCAAAUUGAUGCAAAUCGGAGAAAGUAGUAAAAAGAGGUAUGAUAACACCUAAUUUGCCAAAUAAUCAUACCAUAAAUAGUGUUGUGUGGAAAAAGGGUCCUUAUAGAUGACCCAAUAAUUUAAAUGCUAAAUGCUAAAUGCUUAGUCUUUGUUGUCGCUGUUGUUGCUGUUGUAUUAAGUAGACAAUCUGAUUUCCAGCUUUAUCAUAGCUUUGAAUGGACAAUAUCUUCAAUUUUCCUCUAUCAUUGGUGAACUUCCUAAAGCUUUAGACCAAACACCAAAGUGAUAUGUCGAUUCUUCUAGUUGAGAGGGGAGUUGCAACAAUUGUCAAAACUGCUGUUAGAAACAGCUAGCAGUCAAUUAUGUAUGCUUGCUUGACACUAAUUCUUGAUUAGGUUUGCAGUGUCUCUCCUGAAAUAAAUGCAUUUGCAUUCUCAUAGGUGUAAUAACUAAAAGGAUAGGGAGAAAGUCUUUUCUCAUUAAGAACAGAAACCUUACAUGAGGGGUUCCUGAGGAGGUAGGUAUGUCGAGCUAAUGAGCUUUUCCAUAUAUAAUCCAAAAAAGUAACAUAAGCAUAUAUUCCUGCAGAAUCUGAAUCUUCAUAUGUGCCCCACCUACAUGUUAUUCAAAAACACCUUUAAGAUGAAGAGAGAUUGAAAUUCAUACUGGGAAGUUUUUUUGUUAACUGUUAAUUAAUUAAGUUUUUGAAGGGCGUACAUGAAAUUGUAGAUACGUAACUUUGCUGGGGUGUAUACAUGUAAGCAGAUAUGUACAUACGUGAUUUUGCAAGAAAGGAGGAAGUGUGAGGGCAUGAUAUUGCAGGAAAGGAGGUUAGGUUUCGAGUCCUAACUCGUCUCCAAUGUUUCUAUCUCUAUCGGUUGCUUCUUUACACUUUCAAAGUUUGAUACCUUUCAUGUACUGUAUUACUUAUGUAAGAGUUGUGCCGAUAAGUUCCCUUUUAGGACAGUUAAACCAUUACAAAAGCUGGUAUAUAUAUAGAUCCAAAUUAUAUUCAUGUGAAUGUCAUGUGAUGUGUUUAUAUCUCUACCUACAUGACCAUUGAUUUUCUUGCAUCUUAAUAUCAUCUUUACAAUAAUCUGUGCAAAUACCAGAAGAUGUAUGAACUUUUUCUUGUUAUGAACUUCUAGCACUCUGGAGUUACCGGAUGACUUUUCUUCCAAUUUCUACCUGCUUUUACUCAUUACAUCAAACUGAAUAAUUUAUGAAUGACAAUCUUGAUGCAAUUUUCACAUGCUAUGUUUUCGUAUAUCAUAUCUCUUGUACCUCUAGUAGUACAUUUAACUCUGUACAAAGAUGCAGGGAUCGCAACUAAGAUCAGAAAUAAUGCUAUCAGAGAGCAAUCUUAUCUAACCUGUUUGGCUCCACUUCUGCUUCCAUUCUCUAUACUUGUUAUUUCUAAUAGAGUGUUUGACAAACAGAAAUGUCUAUGGCAUAAAUAAGAUUCGCAGGCCCAAAAAAGGAGAAUCUUCAAAUAUUCGGAGCUUCUGAUUCUGCUCAAUAGUGCUCCUUCUAAAGGCACUUAUCGGACAACACUUCAUCGAACAGCAUUGCACCGUACAGUAGAGAAGGUAAGCAUCUUAAACACCUAGCAUUUUUAAGUUGCAUAAGACUUUUGAAUGCUCAGAACACCUGUAUUAUCUGUGACCUAACUCCAUGUGAGGGUUCUUUGAAAUAAGUAGCCAGUGUGACAUCAUUGAACUGCGCAGUUCAUUCAUUUCUCCUUGUGGGGAGGUAUUGCAUUAUCCCAGUUGGCUACCUAAUGAAGUGCUUGGCUACAUGGUGGAAACAGUUGCAACAACCAACAAACAGAGCAUGGGGCUACAUGUUUCGCGAGACGGUUAGAUCAGCUUCUCUAUUUCGAAAAGCAAAAAGUGUCGAGCAUCUAUAAAAUGAACAUUUGGAUUCGAAGUUUGAGGCAACUUUUGAAUAGACAUUAUUUAUGUCUGUUAAAAUUGGAGAAAUUGGAUGAAACUUGUAUAAGAUUUCUUCUAAGAAAUCAAAUUAUGAUUACCGUUUAGUUAAUCGUGCAUUAAUAUUGGAGUUGUUAGCGCAUAUUUUUGGCGGUAAAAUUAAGUAUAUAAAAAAGUUCAGGGACUAACUUGCAGUUCUUGGAUAAUACAGGGGCCAACCAUUAUAGUUUAUCAUGUCAUGUUACGCAAUUAAAAUUUUCCAUACUCAUUUUAUUACGCGGAUAAAAUGAGUAUGGAAAUUAAAAUCCCACUAUUAUUAUUAUUUUUGAGAAUUGGAUCUACCUACGGUCCAUUCAUCUGGGAUUUUAAUCUAAAUUUUUUUUUUAGAAUUAUUAAAUCAAAUUAUUUUUUCUAAAUUUAGCAUUUUAUCAAAAAAAAAAAAAAAUUGUUUUGUUGUGUUAAUAUGAAUUUUCCCCUCACAAUCCCAAGUCAAAGAGGUAAACCAUUCUUCUGGGAGCAGGUCACAAAAUACCGAUUCCAAUCUGUGGACCAAGCCGAACGAAUAUAAAAAUAAUAAAAUAUAUAUUUCAUUUUUUUUAUAUUUAUAUAAAAUAAUAAAAAUGUUUUUUAAAAUAUUAUUUAUCAGAAAAUCAUCAUAUUAUUUUUACAAAGUAUAAUAGAAUUUGCAUAUUAUGAUAUAGCUUGUAUGGUAUAAUUGGUUAAAAAGAAAAAAAAAAAAAAAAAAAAAUGACUUUUCUUUAUUCCGUGUUCUUAGUAUCACAAUUAAUGUAAAUUAUUGCUAUUAUUAUUAUUGGUUACUAUUAGUCCAAGUAAUUAGUUGUGAUUAUACUUUUUAUUAUUACUUAUUGCAUUAUUAUUAUUCUGAUUCAAACUCUUGCAAUUGGGUUUUUAUAGUUUACAUUUUUUGCACAUGACGUCAAACACCACCUCCCAAAACCUUAUUCAAAAAAUUUCUUUAUAUAUAUAUAUAUAUAUAUAUAUAUAUAUAUAUAUAUAUAUAUAUAUAUAUAUAUAUAUAUAUAUAUAUAAUCUUAUAUAUCCUCUUUAAGUUGUAUGAAGUUUUCGUCUCCAUCCAUUUUCGACGUUUCCGGUUCGUUCUCUCUCUCUCUCUCUCUCUCUCUCUUCUUCUCUCUCUCCCACCAAAACCCUAACUCCUCGAUCCAAAUUGAACUCUCCCCUUCGUCCAAUUCUCGUCCCUUCGCCCUACGAUCGCAGCAAUGGACCCUACGACCGACGACGAGGAGGCGGGGAUCUCCGGCGUCGGCGGCGGCGGCGUACGCGGCGAGUCGUCGGCGGCGGUGGAGGCGGCGGCGCGGGUGGUCCCUCGGCGAGCGCGAGGUCCGAUCCCUAGCCGCGCUCCGCGGCGCCUUGGUCUCCGCCAAGGAUCUCCUCCGAUCCGUGUACAACGGGAGUAAGAUCUAUCAGGUAUAAGCUAUUCCUCUCUAUUCCUUGUUCUUUGUCAUCAAUCGCCCUCUUUUUUCCCUUUUAUUCGUCGUAUACAAAGUCGGGGAUACCGAAAUUUUCUAUAAGUUCGUGUUAAUGGGAUGAUUAAUGUUGAGUCAAGUUUAUUGAGACUAGUUUUUGGUAUUGAUGGGUCAGAGAGCAUUAUAAAUGUAGGAAUUAGGUAAUUUGAUUGUUUCAUUUGAUUAUGAUUGUGAUAAUCGCCAUGCUAUUUUGGAAACAUCUUUUAAUCCUUUUAAUUCUUUCUCAAUUGUUAAUUACUGCUACUAGUUUUGUUACAUGAUGAUCCAACUGAGUGCUGUUAAAGUGCACUUUUAUAGGAAGAUUAGAUCAAAAUUUGCUUUGUAUCCGAGUCAAUCUUCCUAGAAUAAUAUGCCCCUUAUUUUUCAAUUUCAUAAUUUCAUCCCUUGAUUAUGCAGAGUAUGUGUGCCACACACCAUAACUUCGCAAUGAUAAUUUGGAGUCAAUAUUUUGAUAUACAAGGACUAGCCCCUGUUAGUCUUAGUAGCUUGUGCUAGAAACACUUUGGGCCAGUGUUUGGACUCAAUAGUUUGCUAUUAUACUAAUGGAUUAGUUUGGUUUGGUACAAUAUAAGCUUUGUCGGAGCAGUUUCGUUUGAUAUUUGUAUAGCCUAUAUAAUAGGAACGAUUGCCUGGAAGUGUUAAUUUUGUUGAUCCUACUGCACUUUUAUGAGCUUUGGGUCCUACAUUCGGUUUUCCUCAAGUCAUAUUACUAUUGUUCUAUUUCAGGCACUACAAAGAGAAAACUUUGCCAGCAAAUUCCUAGAGGUGAAUGAGAAAAUUGAGAAAGCACUGGAUGAUUUAUCCUAUGGCAACCUUCAUAUCUCUGAAGAAGUUUUAGAGCAGGUAAUCUGAAUUGUAACAAUUCUCAAGAGCAUUCAGGCAUAAGCUAAAAUCCGUUCGUUCUUAUUUCCUUGAGAAAAUACAGUUCGUCUUUUGAAAAAUUUGUGGUAAAAUUUAAUAUUUGAUCAGUUGCAUUGCAUGCCUUGUCUAACCCAGUAAUAUGUAUUCUUGGUAGUACAUGAUUAAGCUUUUGUGGAAGCUUUUGUAGUUUCGCCGUCUAAAUUUGCUUCACUGUUAAAUGGGCAACUUAUGAUCACGAAUGUUUCAUCACUUUACUAUGAAGAAUUGGUAUAUAAACUGAUAUUAUCAUUUAAUUGUACCUUUGACUACCAUUUAUUAAUUGAGAGCCAACAAAAAUUACUAUUCUUUCCUACCUAUGCAGGUUGAACUCGUGCACGCGCAGUUUCGAAGAGCAAAAGUGACAAUGGACUCUCCCGAUCCACAACUUGUUGGAGAUUUAUUUUGCGCAAAAGUUGAAAAGCCCUGCGACAAUCUUAUCCUUAAAAGAAUUUCAGAAAAUUUGCAACUGAGAACAAUGAACGACAUGAAGAAAGAGUCAGUUGCUCUACAUGAAAUGGUGAUUUCAAGUGAUGGUGUUCCAGAUGAGUGCCUUGAAGAAAUGUCAUCCUUGCUAAAGAAUCUUACGGACUGUGUAUUAGAUGAGAAUCCGACUUCUGAUACCGUCCAAAGCAAAACUAGCCCUAUAAAAAAUACAUCUCCUGUUAUUCCGGAUGAGUUUCGAUGCCCCAUAUCUCUUGAGUUGAUGAGGGACCCUGUCAUUGUCUCCACUGGACAGGUAUGCAAUACUUUUAACUUUUAUGCAAAUUAGAAUGCUAGCUGAACUGGUGCUCUGGCUCCCUGAGUAGAACUGCCUGAGUAGAACUGUUUUGAAAAUCUACUAGUAUCUUUUCCAUAAAGAUCCUCCUGACAGUUUCAUGCUGCACUAUAAACAGAAGGUUUAAGCUGAAGCUUCUGCUUUUGAGCUCAAAGGCUCAUUACAGAUUUCAGCCAUGGUAGAAGAUCCAGAUUCCAGACUAUUUUGUUUCUCAAAAGGCUGUUGCUUCUCACUGUAGAGAGGUUGUUCCCGAAGUUAGGCCAAACAGGCAUUAACACCUAAUGGAUUUCGUUUUCCUGAACAUGGUGUGCUAAGAAUCAUUUAAGCCCUUCACUUACGUUAGGGUCUUAUAAGCCAACAGCCAGAUGGUUGUAGUACCUGUUCAAUGCUCUGUUCUAGAUUUGUUCAGCAUUUUUUUGUACUAAAUAUAGAUGAAUUUUCUACAGACUUAUGAGAGGUCCUGCAUCCAAAAAUGGCUCGACAGCGGACACAAGACCUGCCCUAAAACCCAACAACACCUAUCCCACAGUGUCCUCACACCAAACUUCGUGUUGAAGAGCCUCAUUGCGCAGUGGUGCGAAGUAAACGGCGUUGAACUGCCGAAGAAUAAUAAAUCAGGCCACCGAGACAAGAAACAGGGGAAAGCUCCAGACUGUGAUCGUGCUGCUAUCCGCUUGCUAAUGCAGAAAAUAGCAAAUGGCAACAGCGACGAGCAAAGGGCGGCCGCAGGUGAGCUCCGAUUGCUUGCAAAGAGAAACGCAAACAACAGAGUAUGUAUUGCAGAAGCCGGUGCAAUCCCUUUAUUAGUGGAACUGCUCUCUUCUCCCGACCCAAGAACCCAAGAACAUGCCGUCACGGCCCUCCUUAACCUCUCAAUCAAUGAGGAUAACAAGGGUAGUAUUGUAAAUAAUGAAGCAAUACCAAAGAUAGUGGAAGUGCUUAAAAAUGGGAGCAUGGAAGCGAGAGAGAAUGCUGCGGCUACCCUUUUUAGUUUGUCUGUUGUGGAUGAGAACAAAGUAACUAUUGGUGCUAAGGGGGCGAUACCUCCGCUCAUUGAUCUUUUAUGUGAGGGCACCCCUAGAGGUAAGAAAGAUGCAGCGACAGCGAUUUUUAAUUUGUGCAUAUAUCAAGGAAAUAAGGUGAGAGCAGUGAAAGCCGGAAUUGUGGAUCACUUGAUGAGGUUUCUGGCAGAUUCGAGCGGUGGAAUGAUCGAUGAGGCACUCGCGAUUUUAGCGAUUUUAGCGAAUAAUCCAGAAGGGAGGGCCGCAAUAGUACAGUUGCGGCCUGUCGGCAGCUUGGUUGAGGUGAUAAGGACGGGAUCGCCGCGGAAUAAGGAGAAUGCUGCGGCGGUGCUGUGGUCUCUGUGCACGGCAGACGCGGCGCAGCUGGCCGCAGCGAGGGAGGUAGGGUCGGAGGAGGCGCUUAAGGAGUUAGCCGAGAUGGGGACGGAGCGCGCCAAGAGGAAAGCUGGGAACCUUUUGGAGCUCAUGCGCCAAGCAGCGGAGGCUUAAGUGUGCUCAUGCAUGGGGCAAAAUCAAGCAAAGCUGUUUGAUUUGAUUCUGUAGUCAAAAUGGAAGAGAAUAAAACUGGCUUGUAUAUGAUAUUUAAAAUACUGUAGCCUGAACAAGCUUCGUAAGAUUUGUUGGUGUUUCGAGAAAAGAGGAAUCAUAGAAUGGGGAAAAGAUUGUGUAAUAUAGAUUGUAGUGCGUAAUGUAGAUUUGGUUAUUGGUUAUGAGAUGUUGUAUGUAUAUGUUAUUUAUUGUGAGAAGAAGAAGUUACUAAUUCUCGGAGCAGAUUUCAAUUGUUUAUUAAAAACCUUUCCAAGAAAAUGUUUGAGAAGUAGGCCUCCUGAUGUCUGUCCGUGAAUUCAAUUUUGUAAAUAAUUUAUCUUCGAAAUAUUCUUUGCUUUGUCCUCUUUUAGUCACCAAAAAGAUUCACCCUUCUACCCAUGAAAUAUUUUGAGAAGAAAAUUGCUACUUGCACAAACAAACAUAAAGUGGGAUAUAAAUUUAGAUGUUUUUAUAUUAGUGUAAAAUAUUAGUCCUCGAAUGAAACAAGUAAUAUUUACACUCUUUAGAUGUUUUUAUAUAGAUGUGGCAAGAUACAGAUAAAGAAGAUACAUACGAUACACACAGAUGACGAGGUAGUCUGAUACGAUACGAUACGAGACAUAUAAAUACGCGCCAUGAAAAUCAAUCACCAUGACGCAGGUAUAUAACGAGCGAACAUAACCAACUCACCUCAUUCUCUCUCUAGGGAGAAGGAAGGAGAAGGAUAGAAAAAGGCUCUCACUCAUGCAACCCGGCCUUGCUCCUGAGAUGCUCCUUGAACUCCAUAAUCCCACCCUCCCACCUCGUCACCGCCUGGUUCGCGCACACCCAAAUCUCCUGCGCCACCUGACUGAUCAGCCUGAAAUCAUGGCUCACCAGAACCAGCCCCCCGUCCCACUCGUUCAGCGCCUCCGCCAGCGAGUCGAUCGUCUCGAUGUCCAAGUGGUUCGUCGGCUCAUCCAGCAAAAGCAGAUGCGGCUGCCGCCACGCCAGCCAAGCAAAUAUCACCCUGCUCCUCUGGCCGUCCGACAGGUUCUUCAUCGGCAUCACCUGCGCCUUGCCCGAUAACCCGAACUUCCCUACCGCCGCCCUCAUCCGCUCCUCCCCGUUCCCUGGGUAUUCCUUCAUCAUGAACUGCAAGGCCGACAUCUCCAGGUCGAGCUUCUCCGCCAAGUGCUGGUGGAAUUGCGCGAUCCUGAGGUGGUUAUGCCUUCUAACCAUACCGUCUAAGGGAACCAAGUCCCCGGUCAUAAGCCUUAGCAGAGUGCUUUUCCCCGCCCCGUUGGGGCCCACUAAUGCGAUUCUGGAAUCUAAGUCGACACUGAAAUCGAGGUCCUUGUAUAUAAGGUUAUCGGGGGUGUAACCGAAAGUUACGCCGGCGAACUGAAGGACGGGCGGCGGGAGCUUGCCUACAUCGGUAAAGCGGAAUACUAGUACUCUGUCCUUCACCACCUUUUCAGUGAGCCCGCCACGCUCCAUCUUCACUAGGGUCUUCUCCUUGCUCUGCGCCUGGCGCGCUAGCUUGGCGGACCCGUGGCCGAAGCGGGCGAUGUACCCUUUCAUGGAUGCAAUCUGUUCUUGCUCCCAUUUGUACUGCUUCAUCUGGUUUUCUUCGAGCUCGGCUCGGGUCUGGACGUAUUGGUCGUAGUUGCCGGUGUAGAGCUUCAGCUUUCUGUUCUGCAUGUGGAUGAUGUUGGUGCACACGCCGUUCAGGAAAUCCUGCGAGUGGGAGACAACAACGAGGAUGCGGUCGAACUUCUUUAGAGUCUCUUCCAACCAGACACAUGCUUCCAGAUCUGUAACCAAAAGAAAGAACAAAUGAAUCUAAGGUUUGAGUAGUUAUGGAAAGGCAAUAGCAAACACCGAAAGUUCUAACAGGAAAACAUAUUUGUAAGGCUUUUCUCCAAACAGGAAAAUGAUCCUUAUUUCUGCAGGAAAAUCAAAGAGUAGAGUGCAUGUCUGGAAUGGUAAAAGUGAUGCCAUUAGCAAUUUCUAAACUGGUAUGAGAAAGAGCAAUUCACGAGAAAUAAGAGAAGGUCAAAACCUUAAUCUCCGAGGCACCGAACUAACCUAAAUUUAAGAAUUGAGCAAAAAUUUACGAUUUUAUUGUACUCAUCUUUUGCUUGGCCCCAAUCAGUAUGAUGGCUUCGCCCAAACAAGAGAUGGUAACAACCAGGUCAAUCUCAACCUUACAAGUUCAGAAGUUCAUAUUGCAACAAGCAAAGCUGCAGAACAAAAAAUGUUUCCCAUAUUAACAUGGAUGACUCAAAAAACUCUUACCAAGAUGAUUUGUAGGCUCAUCGAGCAAAAGGAUGGUCGGAUUCAUAAAGAGUGCUCUCGCCAAUGCAAUUCUCAUACGCCAACCACCAGAAAAAUCUCGAGUUUUCUUUGCUUGCAUUUGCUUACUAAAACCAAGCCCGUAGAGAAUUUCAGCUGCACGCUUCUCAGCAGUUGAUGCAUCGAUAGCUUCUAACCGCUCAUAGACCCGAUCCAAGGCUUCUCCGCCACCAUCUUCCUAGAGAAAACAGUAUCAAAAGAAAUCAGAAAUGUUCGAAAUGUUUGAAUGCUGCUUUCAAACAGAAAAUUUUGCCGAGAUGCAUAAGAUUUCUCGUUCAAACAAAUGACUAAAAUACGACCUCAGCUACUAAUCUCUCAGCUUCUUUUUCCAAUCUCAGCCUCUCUUCAUCACAGCUGAUGACUGCUUGGAGAGCGGGCAUGUCCGAAGCUUCAAUCUCCCUGGUAAGAUGAUAAAUAUCCAUGUGUUCAGGAAUUGGGAGCUCUCUGCAUCCGAUUGCUGUGAGAAGUGUGGACUUCCCACAGCCAUUCAAUCCAAGAAGACCAUACCGUCUGAAAUUACAGUAUUCGUAAAAUGUUAUGAACAAAAUGGAAUUGAACUCAAAUGUAACAAAGAAUGGGUAAAUGUGAAUGUUAUACCUCCCGUAGUUGAGCUCCAGUUCCGAAUCUACAAUGAGAUCAUGCCCGUGGAAGGUCAAUGAAAGAGACUCUAUCUGGGGUGUGCAAAAAAUGCAGAGUAAGAUCAGAUGCUAAGAUACAAUCAAAAGAUUAGAUGAUAAAAACAGAAUAUAUGAUAAAAGCAGCAAACAAAGGCUAGAAUAACAAAAUUCAAGUUCUUGUACACUACUGAGAUGUGAAUCUCAACGUGUCAAUAGCCACUAUUCUGCAUUGUGUUCCUGAGUUUACUCAUAGAGCUGGUCUACUACACUGUUCCAUACAUGUAACAAGGGGAUCCCUAUAACAUCUUGACAUAUACAUAUCAGAUAAAUGAGUGAUCAAUGAGUCUUAUUCUUCGGAAAAUCAUCAUUAUAUAAUAUUUAGAAAAAAGAUCAUGAUAACAUAUCAUGAAAUUUGAAGAUUUUCAUUGCAAAAUGAAAAAAAAAAUAAAGAUUUUACCAUAUCUGAUUCCGUGUCAUUCGCUCAUUUGUUUUAGAAACUUGAAGCAUCAAAGGCAAAGAAUUUUUUACUUAAGAAAAUAAUCCCAAAUUCCAUAAACUGAGCAUUAAUACAUUAGAAUUUUACAUCCCACAAAACAAUCAUUUGCUUUCAACUUCUACAGCAUAACACCUCAAAUUUUAACAAAAUUCCUAAAGCAUAACACGAAAUAGAGUACAAAAAUAUAUAGAGACUAACAUGAAUAUCUCUAGAGAGGGGAUGGGAUGCGAGAACUCCCGUGCAAGUGCGAUCCGAUAGCUCGAUCGAUCCAAACCCCUCUGCCAAAUUCUCCGCCGCGACGCCAUUCGGAGCCUGCGCGGCGGCCUUCGCCGACGCCGCCGCCGCCGCCGCCGCCGCUUUACCACCCCUCUUCGCCGCUGCCGCCGCCUUCUUUGCCGCCGCCUUCUUCUUGCUCGCGUCCGACACCAUUCUCCUGCUCACAAAACACACGAAUCGAUCAAAAAAACACUCAAAAUCACUUAAGAAUUCACCGAUCGAAUCGAAGGCGAUCGAGAAACUGCAAACCCUAGAUCAAAACACCUGUAUCGAAGGGAAUUACGCAGAAAAUUACCAAAAAAUGGUACGAAGUCCGAGAGGAACUUGGCGAGAAUCGAUUGGGGAGCGUCGCCAGCUAGGGUUCUAACGAAUCUCUCCAAAUCCCUUCAAUUCGAUUUCAAAUCGAACAAAACUACUCUCUUCCUUUUUCCUAUUUCGCUUUCUCCAACGAGAGAGAGAGCAGAGAAAGAGAGAGAGAGAGAGAGAGGGAGAGAGAGGGAGAGAGACCAACGCGAGAGAGUUCGCUCGCUUUGAGAAACGGGAGCGAGGUCGCAUAUUUAUAACUCUGGGAUUCACUUUUUCGAAAAAGCCCCUCGUUUUUAAUUAUUUAAGUUUACACGUGUCUCUCGGGAUGACAUUCUAUGGUCCGAGUACGCGCAUAGGAAGUUAUGCUGCGGUAGAUAAUCUGAACCGUCGGAUUUGUGCGGAAGCGGAGGUAUGGACGGUGGAUUCGAGAGGGCGCAUAGGGAAGUCGGUGGAAUCGGGGGGUUAGGUCGGUUAGCGGUGUGGUUACGACUUACGAGUGUAUUAGCCCACCUGGAGUGUUUGUGGCCGUUGUAGACCAGUAUAAAGAGUGACAAAGUGACUCGUGACUCGUGAGAACAUAGGAUUUGACUAAAAAAGAUUAUGUUAGGGAUUGAGUGACGUGCACGAGUAUUCAUGAAGGUUUUGGAUUGGAAGUGAGGGAUUUUGUUGUUUGAACUCUUACUUUGAGGGCGUGUUUGCUUCGCCGGAGCCAGAAAAGGUCAGAGGUUACUGCCCUUUACACAACGACAGAACUAGAGCAUUAGUCUAAGAGGGCGCCGCCCCGUCCUUAGCAACUUGUAGGAAAGAAGAUCUUUCUAGCUCUUGACUAAAAUGUUGGGACUUUAGGAGAAACUAGAUCGUAUCUUUUGCCAUAAUUUUGAUUUCUGUACCCGAUUUAUAGGCAGUGAUCCUUGCUCGUGGUUUGUUCUCGUUCGUGAUCUGCAAGAAGACGGAACGUUUCGAGUCUAAUUCCCUUAUCUCCGGAGAUGGAGCCGUCACAAAUAAUUGGAUUAGAGUUAGACCGGGACUCCCGUAUAUUACAUAUUUAUAUAUAAUUUAAUGUAAGGAUAUUAAAUCACUUCCGUCCAUCAAGAACGUGUCCAGAUACAUCCUAACCAUAAGAUCUAUCGUAUUUUUAUAAAUCGACUUAAAUAGAUUGAUUGUAUCUUUAUGGAUCACCUUGAAUAUGUCACGUUGGCCAUAUUCAACAUAAAAUUUUCAAAAAGAUCUCUCAGAAAGAAGAUUUUCCACACUUUUUGAGUAUGGUGAUAGACAAAAGUUGGAAUCGGUGCUUACAGUUCGUACAUCUCCUGCUACUCUCCGCCUCUGAUCUCCAACUCCAAGCAGAUAGGCGAGAUGAAUGAGUUUUGCGACAGAAAUCUAGCUAAACAAACGCGCUCUAGGGAAUUGGAACCUAGGUUGGGUUGCCAAGUUGGGCUUACAAUGUAUAAAUAGCUAUUUCAAAAUUAGUUCUAGCAUCUUUCAAAAUGGGCGGAGCCCAAGCCCAAUAUUUGCUCGGGUGUCCGUUUUAAAAUCCUUAAAUUUGACCAUGAGAUUUCAAAAUUUCAGAAACUUUUAUUUUACUUAAAAACAAAAAACUACUUGCAUCCAGUUUACUUUUAUGUAUAUAUAUAUAUAUAUAUAAAAUUGAGUUAGAAUAUUUUUACAAGUAUUACCCCGAUGAUGCUAUUAGGUUUUUAGCCAUUGAAUCUACUCCUUGAUUACUAAUAGCCCUUGUAUCAAACACUAUUCCACCUACCACCACCUACUACCAUCAUCUCAACCUCACAUCUCUCUAUCCAAUGGCUAAAAUCUCAAAAGCAUCACUCACAUAAUACUUUUACAAGUAUUCUACCUCAACUCUAUAUAUAUAUAUAUAUAUAUAUAUAUAUAUAUAUAUAUAUAUAUAUAUAUAUAUUCGUGUGCUACAUAACAAGAGGCGCUUCGCGGCCUAACUUUUGUAUGUUUGAUCCAAUAGUAGAAACUAUUUUUGAGAGCGAUGAGAAUAAAAUAUGUCAGAUGGAAACAAAAAGUCUGACAUACACAAUGCAAUGAGCGUGGAAAUGAGGAGAUGCACAAGUUCUAGGUUGUACCUUAAUUAUUUCUCUCAAAAGUAAAUGGAAAUAAAGAGCUGAAGGAAGAUGAUUCUAAAACUUUAAUAAGAGUACGUGAACGCAAUUUAUUAGACUGUUUUGUAAUUUUACAAAGAUGAAAAUACAAAUAGUGGCAACUCCAGGGGGUGUUCUGUAUAAUAGCCAUGUCACAUAACAAGCCAUUACCCUACUCCUAUACAUGCAUGCUUUACAUGCGCACAUACAUGCAUCCAUGAGCAGGUUCUCUGUCCCCGCUCCGAAGCGCUACGUGCUCCGCCUCUUCAUCUCACUCAAGUACGUCACCGCGAACGUCGUCGAUCGCCGGAGCGGCCGAGUGGUGGUCACGGCGUCGUCGGUGGAGAAGCCCCUGAAGGAGAGCCUCGAGCGCGGCGGGCGCGCGUGCAACGCCAAGGCCGCCGCCGCCGUGGGCGAGGUCCUCGCCGCGCGCCUCGCCGUCGACGGCCUCGCCCGCGAGCCCAUCUACGCCGACGCCUCCAAGGAGGUGGAGAAGAAGGGGUUCCGGAACCGCACCAAGGUUUGGGCCCUCCUCAACGCUCUCCGAUCCCACGGCGUCAACCUCCGAAUCGAUGACGAGGAUCAAACCCCGCCCCGAUAAGUUUUUUCCCACCUUUUUGAUGAUUUCGUGCUUUAUUUAUGUGUUCGGGGAGAUCGAGUGGUAGGAGAAGUGUUAUAUUAAGUUGAACUGAAGGUGUUUGAUGAAAUGCUUGUGAGGCGUGGAAGAGAUAAGCUUGUGUAGUAUGGUUUAUUUUACGCUAAAAAGUAGUAUUUCUUUUUUAGGGGGAUUUUGUGCCAUAUUUAUGUGUUGGGGGUGAUUGAGUUGUUGGAGUAGUGUUGUAUUAAGUUGAAUUGAAUGUAUUUAAUGAAAUGCUUGUGAGGCGUGGAAGGGAUAAUAUUGUGUAGUAUGGUUUAUUUUAUGCUAAGAGUAGUAUUUAUCCUAUAAUUUUUUGGAAUAUUUUAUUCUAUCUUACAAAUUUGUUGCCAUUAUAAGCCUGUUGUUGUUUGUUGCAAGUUAAGAUGGAUUUUGUUAUCCUUUGCUAAUAUGAUCAAUUAGAAAUAUGAAUAGAAACUAUAUCUAGAAUCAUUGAAUGAGGUACUUAUUGUGAAAGAUGAGUGGAUUGAAGAUGCAGGAUUGUGCCACAUAGAUGAAUCAUAUGGACAAAUUAAUAGUUUCUGAUUGAUUCGUUAUCUUCAUUUUAUCCUCAUUCGUAUUCUAUGUAGGUGUCUCAAUGAAACAUAGUUGCAAAUUUUCCAUAUUUUUUGUGCUUUUUUUGCUAAAUAGACCUUUUAUGGUUAAUGAGAUGGUUUUGUUUGGAUGAGACUUGGAAUCAUCAUGAUGUUGCAUUUGAUAUUGGAAGCCACUCUUUGAGCAAUGCUGAGAUAGAUAAAUGGUGUUUAAUUUAGUCCACGCAAAAACUUUUUUCUCAAGGGUAUCUACACUCUUCGAAGUUCUAACUUUCUUUCAAAUUAAAUUUUAGAUGUCAGAAAUCUUUGUGGAAAAAUGUUUAAUGAACGUGCAGGACACACCAACCGUAGAUUACUCUAUGAGUGUAAUUGCUGCAACACCAUAAGGCAGAUUGACAAGAUUUAGAAUAUAGGUUAGUCGUGCUUCCACGAGAUACUGUAUUUCUAGCCAAAAGAGAUGAUAGUCUACUUUUACAUUGUUAGUUAAUUAUAAUACACCUGAUUGUGAUUUUCUCUUUAGGCUUCCAGGUCCGUUUAAAUUUCCAGUAGAAACUGAAAGAAAAGGAUGGAGAAAGGAACAAUGCUAAAACAUGGUCCCCAAAUAUAAGAGGUAUUCUGUUUUUCAAUAAAGUUUCGGAAAUUUUUUAUAUAGUGGUCAACCUCGCAAACUAGAAAGAAGUUGAAUCAGCUUUUGGAAUAGCUAUCCAAUUCCUGAUUCCUUUAUUUUAAAUUCUUUUGCAGAGAUGAUAAUGGUAACAUAGUAUGACCAAAGUGAUGAUAUAUUGCAUAAACAUGCAAAAUAGUUGAUAUUCCCAAUAAUGAACAUCAGAUCCCCCAAUGUGAUGCCAUAUUUGCAACAUACACUGAAAUUGCUUAGCAGAAUACCUGAACUAUUCUAAGACUAGCUCUAUGGCAAUAAGCUAAUGAUAUAUAAAUGACUACGGGAUAAUAUCAAACCUACUAACAUCCUUUUUACAUAUACCAUUUAUGAUAUUGUUUAUUCUUUAUAUUUUUACUUGCCAACCUUGCAUAUACAUUUGGGUUGGCUCCUAUUUCUUCUGACCCUACAUUAUGAUGAUCUGGAUAAAUGGAAAAUAAAAACUAGCAUGAGAGUCCUCAGCUUUAGCUGAUUCUUUUUUCUAUUUAACUGCAGGGAUCUCUGUCUUUCUUAAUUGGGGACAAAAGUGCCGACACAACCGAACCCCAUGAUGAAGAAAGCUCCGGCUUGGAAAAGCAAGUAGACGUAGAAGUGAUCAUGGCGGAACAUUAUAUUAUAGAUCGCACAGUAGAAGAGGUAUAAUCCCAUGAAUAACUCCAAUACAUGGAUCCUGAUAAUUAGAAGAAAGAGUAAGGUUAGCAUUCGAAAACCUUAUUAGUAUUCUUCUGUUUUGCCUCUAGAAUAUUGAAAUCUACUUAAACCACAAGAGUUAAUCACUUUGUCUCAUUUAGUAGUGUUUCAUUGAGCAACUUCUUUUUCUUUGACGAAUAGGGUAAAAUGUAAGUUUCAAAAUUUUAGGCGAGUGACUAAAUAAUGAUAUAAUUUAACCAUUAGUCAGUACCUUUCUCCAAUGCGAGACCGCGGUCUUCCUAAUUUAGUGUUGGGCUUUGGCUUUCCGGUAGUACCUAGUUUCUCAGUGACGACCCAUUCAUUGACACGGUUGGCCUCUAGAAGCCCAAUAAUCGUCGCCUUUGCUCGAUGUACAGACAUGACAUUCUCAAAGAGGAUCCAAAAGAGCAGCAAAUGUAGGGAUCUGUGCCCAAGAAAAGAACAUUAGAUUUAGCCAUUAUACACUAAUUCUUUAGUGCGUUUUAAGCAUUUGUUCGUGUAUUCCCUGAGGGGCUACUUAUUGCUCUUAUUGUUUGCAACUGUAUUUUUGCUGGUUUUGUUUGACAAAAACCCGAAAAAUAGAGGUAACUUUCUUUUUCUUUUUUAAAUAUUUUGGUAAAGAAAGAUAGAGUUACAUAUUAUCGAACAAUAACAAGAAUUGAGUGAGUUCAUCCUAGAUGCCUUCAACAAUACAAAAUUCAAGAAAAAUAGAGUUACAUAUAAAGCACACUAAGAAGGUAACUUUCUUUUUCUUUUUUCAGUUUUUUGGUAAAGAAAGAUAGAGUUACAUAUUAUCGAAGAAUAACAAGAAUUGAGUGAGUUCAUCCUAGAUGCCUUCAACAAUACAAAAUUCAAGAAAAAAUAAAAACAUAAAAAAGAAAGAAAUUGCCUAGUGCACCUUAGAUUGUGUCAAAUGUUCAUGCUUUUCUUUCUCGAGUAAUUUUUGUAAGCUCGAAGAAUGUAAUGCUAAAACCACAACUUACUAGUUACUGACAGGUUAUCAUAAACAAAGUAUAUAUAAAGCACACUAAGAAGGUUGAGAGACUUAAUUUUGAAUCUUAUUUGUACCUUGGAGUGCAAACAGCAUUAAGGAUGGUGAUGGUCGACGGCACAUAAAUGGCGAUGAAUUUGGGAAGAUGAACUUCGGGGACCAGCACACACGCAGGGAUAACAAUGCAGUAGAAGAUGGAGGUGACGAAGUGCGCGACUAUCUUCCUCACGAAGAAGAAGGCAUAUAUCACGUGAAAUUUCUUCCACACCGAUACCCUCUACAGAAUGCGAUAUCAUUCAACAACAAAAUAUGAGAUAUGUAAAACGAAUUGUUCUACUAGUAAUUAGUACUUGUAUGUUGCUUUAUGUUUUACAAUUUAGCUUACUUUGCAGUUGAUUAUCUCCUUAAACAUCUUUCGAAAUAAAUUCGCAGGACCGCAAGACCACCUAUGUUGCUGGUAUCGGUACGCUUUGAAUGUGCUAGGUAGCUCAUUUUUCACCUGAAGUAUUAUAUAUUUCUUAGCAAAACUUUGUUUUAAGUUUGAUGAUAUAAUUUUAAGUGCUGUACUUACAGAUAAGUCACCGACAAAAACAAAUUUCCAUCCCUUGAGACUGGCUCUAACAGCUAAAUCCAUGUCUUCGACAGUUGUCCGAUCCUUCCAUCCGCCGGAAUCUGCAAGUGCUUGAAUCCUCCAUACUCCAGCAGUUCCUGUUUAAGCAAAGUCAUUUAAAAGUUAGAACUUUUGCAUCUGAACAAUUUUAUAGAAAUGACCUCCAGUUUUUGAGAAAGUGACCAUUGAAUCCAAAGAACGAAUAUGUGGAAGAUCCCACUUCCUGCUCCACACUGAAAUGAUAAUCCAGAGACAUCUCUUGAAGUCGAGUUAGCAGACACUCAUCGGCAUUUACUGCAUUCAAAAAAAAAAAAAAGAUCAUUUCAUUUGUUUCGACAAAAUUUGGUACUGCUUUCCUGUUGAGUUAAUAUGUACGUGCGUGUGCAAAUACUGAUGCAGAUCCGAUACCCGCCAAAAGUCGAUAGCAUCAUAGAAACAGUGAUUAGUGUACCGUAGCCCGACUCAAAGAAAUAAUCUACAAAACUCACCGAAAUUCCAUCGAGCUUGAACCAAGGCAAGUUCGGGGUUACUGAGCAGGAAAGGGACAGUCCUCCAGAGGAAGUCAGGUUCCGGCUGGAAGUCGGCAUCAAAGAUGACGACAUACUCGCAUUCCCUGACGUAAUGCUUCUUCAAUCCGUCACGCAGUGCCCCGGCCUUGUAACCGUUUCUACUAUUCCUUGUUUCGUAUUUCACGUUCACUCCUUUGCUUGCCCACCUCUCACACUCUAACUCCACCAAUUCCUAUUAUUUUGCAAAAUAAAAUAAAAAUCUUAGUAAAAGCAAUUUUAUUUUCAGAAAAAUUGAAGAAAUGAAAACAUUUUCGCAGCACAUUACCCUGAGGAUCAUGUCGGUUGAAUCGUCGAGAACUUGGAUUAUGAUCUUGUCGGAAGGCCACGAGAGACCGCAUGCCGCUCCGAUCGAUAACCGGUAAACCUGUCACAUUUUAGUUGUUUUCUUAAGGUAAUUUUGUUCAUUGUGCAUAAUUAUAAGUUUCUGUUUUUGAGUUUGUGCAUGUAUUUGUAUUUGUUUGUUCAUGGCUAUAGAAGAACACAAAAUACAUGCAUGCAUUUGUACAUUUUCCCUUCCACUUCUUGCGUGCUAUAAACCUGUGGUUAUAAAUGAGUUAAUGGUUUAUCACUUGAAUGGAAUUUGUUUAAAAUAUAGCUAAGAAGGAAGAACUUACAAUAGGCUAUAUAUACUGUACAUUUAUUUGACUUAUUAGUUCGCCUAAUUGCUUUUACUUUUGUUACCAAAAUAUGUAAAUACUACAAAGGAAAACAAUCUUUACCCUCAGCUGUACUUGCCGACUUGUGCUUAUAGAUAGGUUCGCAUUAAACAUUAGCUUUAAUCGCGAGUUGAAUGCGACAAGAUACAACUGUCGGGUAUGCGACACGUUCGAGGGUUAUCAGCGCAAGAAACCCUGAACUCUUGCCAGCUAAAACGAGGUCGUGUCAAAAGGCCGAGGGAUCAAAAACACUUGUCUUGCUUUUAGGUCCUCACUCUAACAGAAUCUCUUUGGCUUCACGCAUCCAUUUUAGAAAGAAAGAAGAGAGAACAACUCGAAGCAAAUUUAGUAAAUAAACAAGAAUAACAAUCUAUGUGCAUCUUAUGUUUAAGCAAAAGGAUUUGUUUGCAAAAGUGUCUUUAAACCAUGAAUUGAUCAUCAACAUACCCUUUUAGUGCCAUCACAUAGCCCCUGUGAGUUGUGAGAUGAUUUCACAUGCAAUUACAUAUUUAAAGAUAAAAUCUCACAAACAAUUUGACCAAAUGUCUCCUUUCUCUAGAUAUAAGUGAUUAAAAGAACCGGUGCAAUGUAACUUAUUCAAAGGAAAAAACUAAGUAAACAUGGACAAUUUCCUUGUUUGUUCAUAAUGACAAUUAUUAGGUGGAAUCUGACUUUUAAAUAUGAUUAUAUUUAGGAACUUUGAGGAAACUAAGUAACUUUCUGUGGCUUUCAAAAAAGAAAAGGAACUUUGUUGGGAGUUUUAGUUGAAAAAAGGAUUAAACUAGGAGCCUUUACCCAAUUUUAGUGAAUCUUGACCACUUUGCUUGUAGAAAGAAUGUAAAAGGUGUUUACUUUAUAUAUGAAAUAAUCAGUUCAAGUACUUUUUAAUCAUAGCUCGUAAUCAUCUUUCUUCUAGCAUGAGUUAAAUUCUACGAACUUUUUAAUUUUCUUUCUCGUUUUUUCCUCUUUUUUUUUGUUUUGCAAGGUACAAACUUUAAAUUGCAUGUAAAAAGAUAUCUGUAUAUCAUGUUUUGUUGCAUGCAUGUAUAUUUCAACUGGACUAUAGUACUACUAAACAUUGAUAAUUGUUCUGUAGUAAGCACUCACAAGAACUCAAAAAAAAAAAAAAAAAUGUUGUCAUAAACCUAAAAAACUUCUACAAUCUUAAUCACUUGCAAAGUUCAAAAACUAUGCAUCAGAAUUAUAUCUAAUCCAUGAUGAUUAAUUAUAAUACCUCUUUUUCGUUGUACAUGGGAAUUUGCACCAGGACCAUGGGGUGGGUGUUACUAGCCUCGAGCUCUUGCUUCAUGGCAUCAAGCUUGUACUUGGUGUACCUCUUCCUCCUCAAGAGCUUCACACAUAUGAUCACCGCCGCCAUGUAGACGCGCUCGACGAAGAGCAUCAGCGACAUGGCGGCGCACACGUAGACCGCCACCUGCAGCAGCGGCGCGACGAUCGGCGCGCGGACCUGCCUCCAUGCAAGCCUUAUGUUCUCACUCACCACUGCUCCAUCUCCUGAGCCACCAAUUAGUACUGGGUCCUUCAACACAAGGUUUCUCAUUGAAUAGAGUGUUGGUGUUUGUGUUUGUGUUUGUGUUUGUGUUUGUGUGGGGAGUGUUGGGGCUUGUGAGGGGUGGUACACAGUUUUAAGGAGUGGGGGUGGAUGAACCAAUAUAUAUAGGCCAGCAAAUGGACAGUGUUUGAAGAGAGAGAGAGAGAGAGAGAGAGAGAGAGAGAAUAUUGCAGCUGUACAUGCUGCACCAUGUCAUUCAAUGCACUGCACUGCAAUUAUUUUUUUUCCAUCUUUUAUCUUAUCUCAUACUUUAAUUUUUAUAAUACAUAUUAUUGUUUUCUAAAUUUAGAAUUUGUUUGGUCCUGUAGUAGAGCAUGUACAGUAUGAUUCGAUAAAUUGGUGCUUGAAUAAGUCAACUAAAAAAUACACUCUAACACCCCAAUAAUCCCACAUUGGAUAAUAUGAGAGAGUGUGACGGGUUUAUAAAUGACGGACACACUAAUAAUAGUAACUGAGUUUAAGUAUUUUGAAUCGCUGAUAAGAAUCUAAUGAAUUAUUAUUACUAGCGAGUUUGAUCGUUCGUACCAAAUUAAUCAACUUACGUUUUUCUUUCUUACGAAACUCUUUAUUAGAGUCUACUAUUGCUAUAAGCAAGAGCAAAAGCAGGACUAAGCAGGUCAGUAAGAGUUAAAGUAAGCCGAGUCAAAUGCUGUGGAGCCCUGAAAUGGCGCAGCGCACGGGAUGACGUGGUGCACCAAGUGCAUGUCAUAAUGACUUAGAGAGAGAGAGAGAGAGAGAGAGAGAGAGAGGAGACACGCUUUGCAUGCAGUGUCAAGGAGCUAGGCUAGGCAUUGCGAAACAAAUGUGGUAAUUAAAGGUGCAGGGAUGUGUGCAUUUUAAUUCCUGCUAACUGAAUCACUUAUUAUCCAAGACUCCUUUUGAGAGUUCCCCAAGUUGUAUUCACACACCCACUCGUUUCCAUUCCUGAGAAUCUCUCAAGAUUGUUAAAUAUCUUCAGUAAAAGAUUCUCAGAUCAUGUGUUACUAGCAUUAUGAAACGAAAUAUUUAGUUUCCAAAUGCUUUCAAUAGUAUAGAUCAAAUCUAACGGAGUCGAUCAUCGAUUUGGAAGUGGCAUCAUUGAAAACAACUUAGUAGCACGGAGGCGUCCGUGCUACCGAUAGUAUAGCAGCUUAGCUAUAUAUAUAUAUAUAUAUAUAUAUAUAUAUAUAUAUAUAUGAAAAAUUUUAUUAAUGAAACUAAGGUAAAAAUAUAUAAACCCUAAUUUUUUUUUUUAAAUUUCUUACGUUUUAGGAUGCACGCGGAAAAAGAAAGUGACGUACCAAAGAAAACAUUCUUUUUUCCAACAAAUAUAUUUUAUUUAAUUUAUUUUACAAAUUAUUGGCUAGACAAAAUACACAGAUUAGUUGUACGGCUCGGAGAGGGCUUGUUUUUAUCCACUUUGUUUUUUAAUAAUGAUUUAAUUAAUUAAUAACUAAUAUUUACUCCACCCAUGGUGACCAAAAAUAAAUAAAUAAAUAAAUAAUAAAAAAGGCACUGAAUCUUAAAUAAUUUUUUAAUAAUUAAAAAAAGGGACAAAAAAAUUAGAAAAUGGUGGGGCCCAGCAUGCCGAAAGGGACGCGACGUUUUUGCGUGGGCAACGAAUAACUGAAAAGGGUGAGCANUAUAUAUAUAUAUAUAUAUAUAUAUAUAUAUAAUUGAGCUAGAAUACUUUUAGAAGUAUCACCCACUUGGUGCUAUUAGCUUUUUAGCUCUUGGAUCUACUCAUUGAAUACUAAUGGUUUUGGAUCAAACACUAUUCCAUCUACCACCACCUACCACUAUCAUCUCAAUCAUACAUUUCUCCAUCCAAAGAUUAAAAAUUCAAAAGCACAAACUUCUUGGUACUUUUGAGAGUAUUCUAGCUCAACUCUCUCUCUCUCUCUCUCUCUCUCUCUCUCUCUAUAUAUAUAUAUAUAUAUAUAUGGUUUUACAACAUAUAUUAAGGGGUCAAAGUUCAAAUUGUUAAGUGCAAAUUGAACCGGAAUUUUGAGACUCAAACUUGGGAUUUCCACUGUGUUUUAUUAAUGCAUGCCUUUUGUGCUUGAAAUAUAUUAAGCUCAGUCGAAAUUUUGGGCAAUUUAAUAUAUUAAGGUUGGGUGAUUAUUUACAUUAAUAGAUGCAGAGCUCUCGAAAACAAUAAAAUUAGCUUGUUCAAUUUUGAUGUUUUAAUAUGAUUUCGUAUUUUUUGGUAGAUCGAAUGUUUAAUGCUAUAUAUUAAAUUCAUUAGCUUUGUCAAUUUUAGAAGCUUCUAUCGUGACACAAUAGUAAAAAAAGAAAAAAAAAAGAAAAAAAAGGGGUAGGCCACGUUUUGCCUACAAAGUAACAAACCUAGCAAAUUAAUCUUAAUUGAUAUUAUUAUGUUAAUUAAAAAUUUUUGUUAUUGAUAGAUCAGGUAGAAUAUAUAUAUGAAUAUAUUUGGUAACAUUUACUUUUCGUGAAUUAUAUUAAUUUUUAAUACAAACCACAUGUCAAUGUGUCAUCAGCAAAACAUCAUUCUUAGUAUCAGCACCCCAAUCUAAGCUCAUCUUUGACUCAUCCUCUGAAACUGUCACCUUGUCUCAAGAGAUAAUAACCAAUCAAGCAUUUGACAAAUAAAAAUUUUAAAACUUGUGAAGCUUUCAAAGUUCUAUCUAAAUUAGCAAUACUUUAGCAAAAGCUUUAAUCAAGCUAAAUAGGUUACGAAGCAUUCUUUUGAUGUAGAGAACAUCUAUCUAAUGCUACUGAACCAAAAAAAAAGUUGGGUUGAAAACAUGAAGAGAUUUGUUUUUCAAUUUUCUUACAGUAACCGAACAAAUGCGAUCUAUACAUGUAACGCAAACUUUUCUUACUCCGAAAUGUAGCCUAAGAGGAAAAAAUAAGGUGUUUUUGAGUAAUCACAAAGCCAAAUUGGGUAAAGUGAUGGCUAAAAGUAUCAUUUUUAUAUCAUAUAAGGUUUAAAAAUUUUAAAACUGUUUUUAAUCUUUUCUUUCUUUCAUACUAUAAAAUUAUAAUUGUAAUCGCCAUUGAAGAAAUUAAGCAUCUAGUUAUAUACUUCUCGAGGUUGCAACUAUAAGUUUAUAGUAAUAAACAAGAAAAAUAUUAUAAACACUUUAUAUUUUUUAGAAAUAUAAUAUUUUUAGCAUCACAUUAUCAAACUACACCUCACACAGCACAAGCCUCACAACUUCACAACUUCACAAACACAGCUCUCUCUCUCUCUCUCUCUCUAUAUAUAUAUAUAUAUCUCUCUCUCUCUAUAUAUAUAUAUAUACAUAUCUCUGAGUUAACAUAGAGAGAGAGAGAGGACAAAAAAUGGGCUGUGCUAUUUAAGGAAGCAUGAGUACAUGUCAAGCUCCGAGAGUAGCUGCUAGGAGAAGCCGCGCUGGCAAAACUUGUCUCCUGCUUCUGCUUUUAUUAAUUGCAUACAAAUUCCUACAAAUAUAAUAAAUUAUAAAUAUAUUUUUAUAAAGUUCAAUUUUUAUAUAUUAGUUUUAUAAAAAUCUAAUAUUUUCAAAUAUAUUCAUCUGAUUUGUUGCCGAUAGAGAAUUAUUUAUAUUUUAACAGCAGAUAAGUAAAAUAUUAAUUUUGUCAUCACAAAUAUAUCCUUCCAAAAGCCACAACAGCUAUAAUCAAGCAGAAGUGUCCUCCCAAAAAAUUUUCAAUGGCCAUCUUCUUUCUUUUUAAAAUAUAACUCAUUUCAUUAUUGUUGCAACCUCUUUUCUCACUCAUUUUUUUCUAAACCUUUUCUUUUGAGUAAAAAAAAAAAUUCAUAAAGAAAAGUGAAUGGAAAAGCAACACGUGUUUGAUAUGGAGGAAGUAAUACGCGUCGUGGAUUAAUAUAGACGAAAAAAUUCUAGUUAUGAAUUCGAAACCUGUAUAAAAAAAAGACUAGAGGAAGAGGAAGAGGAAGACGAAGACGAAGACGAAGAAGAAUCCCACUGUUAGGAUUUUAAUUGAGAGAAAAGGUAUAAUAAUAUAAGAGGAGUAAAAUUAUCAAGUUACCUUAUUGACUAAUUAGGAUUAAAUAUUUAACCUAUGGUUAGUUAAAUUUUUCUAAUGAAUUCUAACGGCAGAAAUAUAUUUAAAAAUAUUAGGACUUUUUGCAUGAACAAUAUAUGAAAGUUUCAAUGAAUGAAGCGGAUAGCAUGUUAUCUUUUUUUCAAAAAAAUAUAUAAAAGUUGAACCUCGUAGAAAUAUAUUUAUAAUUUAUUAUGUUUACAUAGAUCUGUACAUAAUUAACCCAUUACAUAUUAAAAGCACUUUUGUUGCAACUCAAACUCCCCCUGCAUGCACAGUGUGUUACAGCUCAUGCAUGGCUUGGAGAUGUGAACAAAAUGGAUGAGAACGUACGCUUCGACUAUUCUCUUUAAUACACUUAAACCCUCUCCGCAAGAAAAGAUUUGUCGCAGCACCGAAUGGGUUGACCAAAAAGUUCAACCAAUUUCAACAUAUUUAUUUAUGUAUGCGUAUAUUUAUAUACUAACUUAGUAAUCCAUGCAAUACGAGGAAUAAAUAAUUAAAAAAUAUAUAAAAAAAAUAGUAAUAAAAAAAGCGAUAAUGAGGGAUGGGAUUUAUCUUGCCGUUGAACGAAAGUAACAGCGAAAGAAAGAGAAAAAUGAAUAACUUGAGCUGGUUCGAGAUGGAGUCCACAUUCAACUAUAAAAAAAAAAAAGUUAUCAUGUGGCAAUUUUGAGAUAAAUAAUGUAUAGAUAUGUAGAAUAUAGAUAUAGAUAUAGAUAAUUUGUUUUUCAUUUUGAAAACACAAUAUUAAUUCUUUCUUAAUGACGGAGUAAAUAUAUGGAGCAUGUUUACUAUUUAAUUAUAACUAUACAAAAAAUUUGAUCAGAUUAAAUAUAAUUAUUCUAUCAAUAAUAAAAACUACUCUUUUAAUGUCAUUAUGAUUUAUUUAUAAUAUGUAUGUAUAAAGCAGUGCUACUGUGCUAUUAGGAGCACAGCAACUCUUGUGCUUCUAAUUUUAUAACAAUCCAUCAAAUUUGAUGGAUGAUUAGAAUGAGAGAGGGAUGAGAUAUUGAAGAGAAAUUCAAGGAUAAGAGAAAUUGAGACACUCAAUUUAUUUAGAAAUAAACUUAGCUAAAAAUGUGAAUCAAUUAGAAUUCGAACUUAGAUCUCGGGUACUAAUCAUCAAAUUCUUCGCCACUUGCUGUAGGGACGGUUGGUGACUCCUUUUUUUUAAGUUAAGCAUGUAAAAGAUACAAUACUCGCCAGUUUACUCGGGGGAUCUUUCGGUGUAACGCUUGAUGCCUCACUUUCCAUGGUGUGCUUAGCACGUCUUCAGUGUAACGCCUAUAUAUUUCGUGGUCAAUGUGUUUGACAAAAAGAUGACACACACACAAAUAAUUAUCUCAGAAAUUAAUUUAUUGAUGUAAAUUGCACCAUUACUCCUUGAUCAGCUUUAACUCAAGGAUAAUUUAAUAUUCUAAUUUUUUUAAAGUAAUUUAUUGUAUAUAUAUAUAUACAUAUAUUAUUACGAAAAGAGAAAAAAAAAUGUUGCAUGUAAUGUAAAUGGUUCAAUUAUAUAUCAGUAAUUGGGGUACCAAUCAACUGCACUAGAUAUUUUCUUUUGAAAUGCUUAUAUCGAAGUCUAAAAUUCGCAAAAAUAGAAAUUAAAUACUCCAUCACUAAUUAAACGUGAUCAUGAUGCCAUAACGAAUAAGAUGCGUAUAUAUGGAGACUAUUUAAUUACCCCUAUAAAUGAGAUAAAACCCUCAAAUAAAACAACACUUUGUAGGCUAUUAAUUAAUUAAUUAGCUUUACGUGUUGAUUUAGUUGAGAGGAAUACUAAAUGAUGCAAUGUUCUUAUUCCUCUUAAUCAUUUCUUCAUGUGAGAACACAAUUCACAUGCAUGGGAAUAAGCUCAACACAAGUUUGGGCACAAAGUGUGUGAGCCAUAGUUUUUUUUUUUUUUUUCCUUCCUAUUUUUUAAUUCUUUUCAUAGGCUAUUGUAUCUGCUAUAGUUUUUUUUCGAGAGAGAGAGAGAGAGAGAGAGAUAGGUAGCACGCUAUCCGUUUCGUUUAUUUUAUUUAGAAAUAAACUUAGCUGAAAAUGUGAAUCAACUAGAAUUCGAACUUAGGACCUCGAAUACCAACCACCAAGUCCUUUACCACUUGCUGCUAUAGUUGGUACUGAUGUCUUAAAUAGUGUGGGUGGGUUCCGUGCCCUUAUUUAGAUGCUUGAAUAACUUAUUCAGUAUCUACCAACCGUCCCUAGAGCAAGUGGCAAAGGAUUUGGUGGUUGGUAUCCGAGACCCAAGUUCGAAUUCUAGUUGAUUCAUAUUUCUAACUAAGUUUAUUUCUAAAUGAAAUAAACGGAGCGGGUAGCGUGCUACCUAUUUCUCAAAAAAAAAAAACUUAUUCAGUAUCUUAAAUAGUGUGGGUGGGUUCCGUGCCCUUAUUUAGAUGCUUGAAUAACUUAUUCAGUAUAUCUUGUUAAUACAUUUUUUAGGUUUCAAUUUAUAACUUGUACGAUUCUGUUUCAGAUUAAAUUUAUUUAGCAAAAUAAAUUUAAAAAAUAAAAAAGAAUAGCAAGUUAUUAGCAAAAUAAAACCAAAAAUGAAAAUGCCAAAAUAAAUAAAAUAAAAUUGUUGGUACCUUUUAAAUUUGAAUUUAUAACUUGUGAUUCGGCUGCAGAUUAAAUUUAUUUAGCAAAAUAAAAAAUAGCAAACUAAAUUAGGUAUUAAAUUUGAAUUAUUAUCAUUUGUGAUUCUGUUAGAGAUUAAGUUUAUUUAGCAAAAUAAAUUCAAAAUUAAAGAACAGCAAACUAAAAUUGAAAAGAAAAAUUAUUUAGCAAAAUAAAUUCAAAAAUAAAGAACAGCAAACUAAAAUUGAAAAGAAAAAUUAUUUAGCAAAAUAAAUUCAAAAAUAAAGAGCAGCAAACUAAAUUUGGGGAAAAAAAUAUUUAACAAAAUAAAUUCAAAAAUAAAAAAUAGCAAACUAAAAUUGAAAAAAAUAUUUAGAAAAAAAAUUCAAAAAUAAAAAAUUAGCAAAGUGAAAUUGGAAAAAAAAAAUUACUUAGCAAAAUAAAUUCAAAAAUAAAAAAUAGCAAACUAAAAUUGAAAAUAAAAAAUCCGACCUGCCGGAUUCGAACCAGCGACCUAAGGAUUUAUCUGCAAACACUACAGUCCUCCGCUCUACCAACUGAGCUAAGGUCGGUUUUGAUUUAAUUUUACUUAUUUAAUUCUAUAUAUUAAAUAAUAUUGUUAAUUAAUUAGGAUUCCUAAAACAUGGAUUUAGGGCUUUUCUCAUCUAGGUUUUUAGUAAGAUAAAAAGAUAUGUUUAAAGUACCUAAGGUAUGAACUAUUUUCAGUACCGGCCAAGAAAUUAGUAAACUGGGAUUUUUUUUUUUUUUUUUAGAGAUAGGUAGCACGCUACCCGCUUCGUUUAUUUCAUUUAGAAAUAAACUUAGUUGAAAAUAUGAAUCAAUUAGGAUUCGAACUUGGAACCUCGGGUACCAACCAUCAAGCACUUUGCCGCUUGCUUUAGGGACGGUCGGUGUAAACUGGGAAUUUUGAUGGACUUGUUUUGAGAAAUGAAAACAAAAAAGUUUCAAGUGCUUGUGAGAGGGAUUUUACAGGUAAAUUUGUAAAAAAGGAAAAUUGUGCUUAUCAUGUAGCAGGUCUUCACUAGAGAGCCUUUCACUACAAUCACUGAUCACAUAACAAACUGGGAGACCAUAAACAUUUGCAUGUUGAGUUGCACACUUAAAUGUUCACAUGGUAUCAGAACCUCUCUAGUUUGAUACAGAAAAAUAAAUGUUCACAUGGUAUCAGAACCUGUCGACGCACUUAAUUCAAUAUACAUGUGGAAACCUGUUGAAGAUAUCGAAUCUAGACUUGUUUAACAGCUUCCAUGUUCCAGAAGCAGGGUGAAGUAGCGCGGGGCGAAAUAAACACCAUGUUUGGGAAACCGUAUAGUUCGCUGUAACUUCCUUACUCUCGAAACUAACUGAAUAUGCUUUCUUCGUGCUAUAAUGGGAAGCUUUGUAGUUUGUAUGUAGUGUUGACUGAGGAUAUAUAUUGCAGUUUCUAAAUCCGCCCUCUUCAGAGUUGAGUCUGGGGCAUUAAAUAAUAUGACUUUUCCCAAUAUGAUCUUGACGAGCUCUACGAACCUAUUCAGACACAGUUUGACAUCUGCGAAUGCUUCAACAGGAACCUUCUCUCUCCUCUUAUCUCUUCUUUUUAACCUAAAGACAAUGAAGGUCGAUUGUGAAAGCGAGCCAGUGAAGCCUCUCAUGGAAGCAAAAUAAUUUAAUGAGUAGAUGAUAAGAUCGCAAUCAACAGUAAUAGAUCAUUUUUGCGAGCUAUUCUCUGAUGCAGUUGAGCAUAUAAUGAUCAAAAACAAGAAAAUGUUGUUGGGUCACGAAGACGAAGGUUUCAUUGAGGAUAACAACAGUUGACUAAUCUACAAGAGGAACAUUUGGCAGCUGUGAAUAUGAUAUGAAAAGCUUCCCUUGAUCAAAGUAUGAACAAAAGAUAGUUUACAAUAAAUCCUGUAUCAACGCAGAUGAGUUGAACCGGGCAUUUUCGUAAAUUUUCUUACGAAAAAAAAAAUAGUCAAGGACAUAGAAAUAUAGAAAAAAAAAAAAAACUUGCAUUGUAAUAACCAAAAGGAAAAAGCUUACACUUGAUAAGAGAGGCUGUUUGACUAAUCUUUCCAGGUUAAGCUAAGAGACCACAAAUUCCUGCAAAAAAAAAAAAAAAUUGUAGCUCUCUUUGGUUUAAAGUAAAUCCACAAGGAGAAGACAGAAUUUUAAGAUGUGUGGUAUAAUGAGAUAAAAACCUGUGCAAACAUAGCAAAUUAGGGUUUAUCCUCACAUAGGAAAUAACCUUCAGUUGGAGCAAUCUUGGCCCACCUGCAUGAGCAUUUGUUGAUUACAGUGCGCUACAAUUUAACUUUAUACUAAAUCCAAUAUAACUACAACUUCUAAAAGAAAUCUAAGAAGCAUAAGAAAUAGGCUUGAACUAGAGAAGCACAUAUACAUUCUCAUGAAGCUUAUAAUUAAUUAUGAGUGAACUAAGUUCAACCAGCAUAACAAACAAAAGAACAGGAAUCCUCAGACAUAUAUAUAUAUAUAUAUAUAUAUAUAUAUAUAUAUAUAUAUAGAAUUGGGCUCUUAUGCUUUUAAAAGUACCAAAUUAUUAGUGCUUGUAGAUUUUUGGCCAUUGGAUUAAGAGAUGUGCGGUUAGGAUGAUGUGGACCUCCUAGGGUUGAGUAGGUAGUUGGUUGAAUAGUAUAAUCUAACCGAUGAAAAUGAUCAAAGGUGUGAUCUAAUGAUAGAAAACUCGAUAAUAUCAAGAGUUGAGUGCUUUUACAAGCACCGUAGCCGGACUCUCUCUCUCUCUCUCUCUCUCUCUCUCUAUAUAUAUAUAUACAUAUAUAAAGCAGCUUGAAAUACUUGCUCAAAGAUGUAGCACCUAGGAAGAAAGUAGUCAACGCGGUUAUCCAUAGGAGUUGCAGGUAACAUGUCAUCUAUGAACUUCUCCCUUAACAACAUAUUGGCUUAUAGUUAAAUGUCGCACUGACCUGUUAUUGUUAUCAAAAUAGUGGGUCGCCCAUAUUUAAUCCAGGGAAAUGAUCAUUCAAGCAAAAAAUUUAUAGUUAUCACAAUAUCUAACAACAUACUGACCAUUCCUAUUUAGAGGUAUCGUGAUGUUUUAUGGGGAAAAAAAAAAGAUUACUAGUGUCUGGCUUCCACAUAACCUUUAGUUCAGGAUUCUUUGGGUCGUAAGAUUUACUGCUAUUAAAAGGAUGAAUGAUGACUCAUAAAAAGGCCUUGACAAACCCUAUCAAUAAAAUUCCAAAUAGAUUAUACAAACCAAAUAGCAGACUAUAUUAAGCUAGCUGUUUUUUAACCACUAUCGCUUCAUUACACUCAUCUAUUGGAGAUGCAGUUUGAAGAAUCAAUACCGUAAAAUGUGAAGCAUUCAAAGAAAGCUUACCCAUCAUAUCAGCACAUAAAACUGAAAGCUGCAUCACCAGUUGUCUUCGCAAGAGCAUAAUCCAUGCUUUAUUUCAUGAAACCUAAUUCCAUCCCUUACAGUAAUCUCCCUAUUAAAAAUCUUCGAUAGGAGCUUAAAAGAUGAAUGGCAAUCCGAGCACAUACGAAGAUUCGUAACAAUUUUUACUGGUUCCUCAGCACCUAAGUUUAUCAACCCAAAUGCUAAAGCGACCUUCUCACUGUGAUAAGGAACUAAACUACCCUUUUUAUCCUUACCGACAUUGUAAAGUAUUUGUUCAGUAACCGUAUCAUAUCCUGUAAAACUCAAUCUCCUCGAAAUUUCUUCAAGCAUUAUACUUAUCUCUUUGGCCUGAGGGUGUGAAUUCAUAUUUGCUGAGAAUUGGUGCACUGUCCCAUCCCAUUCGACAUAGCUGUAGCCAGUUCGCCUACCAUUAUGUCUGUAAUUUAUAAUAUCUCUCAACUUUUGAGCAUAAUCCCGUCGCUUGACAUCAGAAAAUAGGUCAGAUAAAAGAAAAUCUCUCUCCUUAUAAUUACAGUCGAGUUGAAGAAGUUGUUCUUUCGCAAGUUCUCCAAUCUCAGCAUUCCUAUGGAUUCUACAUGAACGCAACAGAGCUGACCAGAUCACUGAGUUUGCUUUAAUUGGCAUCUUCUCGAUAAAACUGCGUGCCUCAUUCAACAACCCAACUUGCCCAAAGAGAUCAACCAUGCAUCCAUAAUGUUCAAUCUGUGGUUUAAGUCCAUACUUCACCAUGGAAUCAAACAAUUUCGUGCCCUCUGAAACCAAGCCACUGUGACUGCAGGCACAUAAAACACCUACAAACGUGAUCUCGUCAGGAACAAACCCUAGUGAUUCCAUUUCACCAAAUACUGCAAUUGCUUUCUCACCAAGUCCAUGUUGAGCGAGUCCCGAAAUAAUCGCGUUGAAUAGCUCUACUGUUUUUAAUCUGUAAUCAACUUUGUAAAAUAUAUCUAAAGCUUCUUGUAUGCACCCACACUUGGCAUAUAUAUCCACAAUUGCGGUAAUUAUUCUGGGGUUUCUAUUAAGCAACCCAUCGUCUUCUACGUAACCGUGAAGCUUCUUCCCCAAAUCAAGGGCACCCAAUUGAGCACAUGCUGAAAGCACAGUAACCAUGGUCACUUCAUCAGGUCUAAGUCCUUCCUUCUCCAUCUCCAUAAAAAUUUCCAAUGCUUCCCUGUACUUUCCUGAUCGAGCGCAGCCACUAAUUAACGCUGUCCAAGCUAUCAAAUCCUUUUGAGGCAUUUCACUAAACAGUUUACGGGCAGUACCAAUGUCCCCACAUCUAGCAUAACCGGAAACCAAAGAACUCCAUGCCUUGACAUCCGCACUAUCGCCCAUCAUGCGAAACGCUUGAUUGGCCAAUCUCAUCAUCCCACAUCUAGAGUACAUGUCGACAAGUGCGGUAACUAUAUAAUUACUGAAUUUGUCAGAUCCUAUAGUUUUAUAAGCUAGCAAAUGAACCAUCUUCCCAGUUCUAGCAUCACCCAAUUCCGAACAGAGAGAAAGCACGGAGGCGAAUGUAGAGCUAUCCGGCUUAGAAUCUGAAUCCAGCAUCUGCUUAAAAACACUCAGGCCAUUAACCGCUUCACCAGCUUUAGCAUACCCAUCCAUCAUAGUAUUAAACGAUACAGCAUCCCGUUGAGAACACGCAUCAAACACCUUGCGUGAACACGGCAUAUCACCAAACGAAGAGUACAGAUGCAUAAGCGAGUUCAUAACGUAAGUAUCCGAAUGAAACCCACAUUUCACAACGUGGCAAUGAACCCCAAAACCCACAUCGGGGCUGGGAAGCUUCGCGCAGGCGUUGACUAUGAAGGUGAAGGUGAAGUUGUUGGCGAUCAAAGGAGCGCCGUUGGAGACCAUGGACUUGUAGAGGAGCACGGAUUCGCGAGGGGACUGGGCGCGGGAGUGGGCGCGGAUCAUGGCGUUGUAGGCGAAGGCGUUGGGGCGAGGGAGGUGGGAGAAGAGGAGGCGAGCGUGGACGAGGUCGGGGGGGUCGGAGAGGGCGAAGAAGGAGACGAGCAUGGAGAGGAGGCGGCGGCGGCGGCGGAGGAGACCGCGGAGGAGGAGCUGCGCUGUAACCUGGAGAGCGUGGUGGGGGUUGAGAAUGGAGGCUAGGGUUUUUUGGUGGGUUUCGUGUAGCAUAGCUCGGAUUCGGAAGAGGAGGAGAGGUGGGGAGUUGGGCGACGAGGGGGAGCGGCGGAGGAAGGUGACGACGAUGAGGGUGAGUGCUUUAAGAAGUCGUCGUUUCGAGACGUUUCGGCGCCGAGUUUCUCUGAAGUGGGAAACAUUUCGGCAGAGUUUGCUGUUUCGGCACCGGCUUUACAGUUUGGAGAGCAUUUUAGGCCUUUGUUGGCUCCAUAGCCAAAAAUAGUUGCUACCAUAACAGCUGCACUACAUACAAUAUCUUCUAAAUUAUUUAUUACAACAUAUCGGAGGACAAAGAAUUUAAUUAAUUUCAUAGUGAAACAAUAUUUUUUCAAAAAAAUAUUAUUAUAUGUAUUUCUAAUGUGCUUUAAUUGAAUAUUAUUAUUCUCAAAUAGAAUAAUUGCCAUAUAUAAAACUUUCUCAACAUGGAUACACCACUAUUUGGUAAACAGUUAUUUAAAUAAUUUUAUUAGAAAACUGAUAUAUUAUAAUAUUUUCUACAGUAAAAUUGGAAAUAUUAAAUUAAUGCUUUUGGUUCUUAGGGUUAGAAAUUUAUAUUUAUUUUGAGCUACAGUAUAAGCUUCAAAUAUUUUUUUUUAAUGCUAACAAAAUUAUUUCUAUAUGUACCCGCUUUGAUGCUCAUAGCUUUUGAACAUCAACAAUAUUUCAUGAACAGAUUGUAUUGUUAUUUUUAUUGAUCAACUUUAUAUCUUAGCUCAUGUGUGGUCUUUAUUAUAAAGUAUAAAAUUAAUAGGUGAAAUAUCAUUUGAAUUGUAUUAUUGUAUUAAUCUUUUCUACUGGGCAAACUCUCUACUGAAGAUAUUAUUAUUGAAAAUAAAAGUAGAAAAGAAGCUAAAUAGACACAUGGACUUUAAUUAGCAAUUUCACCACAUGUAGCAAUUGCACUUUUGCCACAAUAAUCAAAGCCAAACUCUAUAUCAUUUUGAACUAAAAAGCUAGCAAUCUCGAACACAAAGUCGGCACUAGGGUCCCACUCGUCGACGAAUUGAAAAUACGAGAAAGGCAAACUCCAACCAGCUACUACGUCGCCGUAUUUGCCACAAUAUAAACUCGGCAAAAGGAGCAGACUGGCCACCGACUUUCAUUCUGAAGCGACUCGGAUAUUUCAACAUUACCGUACUCUUCCUCCCGCGCUAUUCAAGCGAUCCUUCGUGGGGGGGAGCUCACCUCUCUCAGGAGGAGGGAGACGACACGAAGCAAGGGCGAGUCUCCUCUCCACACUUCGCUCUCGAUCCGCCAUGGAAGGAGCACCCCUCUUCAGCUGGGAGCUCGAUGCUGUAGGAGGCGGCGCCGGUAAGUUUCACCUCUUCCCCCUUCUCUCGAUGCUGUUGUAAUGGUUAGGGUUAGGAUUUUGUUCCCUUGGUUGCUUGAUGAGGACAAUGAUGGUGUUGAUUAGAUCUAGUGAUUUUGGUAGGAGAAAACCCGAAAUUCGGGAGAAAUAAGAAGAAGGGUUUGAUCGGGAGUAAGAGUAGGAGGCAGACGCUCUCGGACAUCACGAACACAGGGAGGAACCAAGAAAACCCUAACACGACGAUCUAUCCCGAUUCCAAGGAUCUGAUCGAGCUAACGAAGGUUUUAAAGCAUUUUAAUCCUUAUGUUCAAACAUUACCGAAUUCCCUUUCUAAUGCCUAAAAGGAGUGCCCUAUUCUUUUGGCUCGCCGAAUCCCAGGGAAAAAGUGAGCUACUGAAGCUUCUCGGAGAGAGAAAGUAUGCGCAUUCAUGGAGUAGAUUUCCCUUAAUUUUAGGUCAAAAGUUGAGUUUUUGUUAACUGGAUUGGGUGGGUGAUGAUCUUUGUUUAUAGUAAGACUUUCGAAGAGAGCAAUAGUGAGUUGCAGAAGCUUCGUGUCGCGUUGCACAAAGCCAAUCAGCAAAAUAGGGAACUUGCUCAGGCCAACUCUCGGAUGCUAAUGGUGCUUUUCUUUGUCCUUCUCCCUCCUCUUAUAUCUUACUUUUUGUCGAUAAGGAAAAAAAAAGGGAAAAUUCUUAUCUUUCUCUUGCUUUGAUCUUCAGGAGCUCAACUCGGGGAAAGAUAGAGUGAGUCCAAUCUAUUUUUAACUGGCCUAUUAGUUUGGUGGUGCUUUCUUUCGCCUAUUCAGGUGAUUUAGUUGUUGGCUAUGAAUGGACUUUUGGCUCGACAGGAGCUUUUGUACAAGUUCUAUUUGGUAGGACUAUUUAGCAAACCCUAAUCAUUAUAAUUCUUCAAAUAGCUUAAGUUGCAGCUAGAAGAAGAAGCUUCAUAUGCAAGCUUCUCAGCUAGAAUCUCUGAUUUUUUUGGUUUGUUGAAGUGCCGAGUUUGUGCUUCUUGAGUUUGGAAACUGUUACACAAGCUGUGGGGGAAAGAGCUGUGAAAGCAGUUCCUGGCUUUAGUAGCGCCAGAGUUUUCUUUUGUGUGUGAUUGCACUCGUGCUUGUCAACUUGAAUCUGAAUUCUCAUAAUUUGGUCAUUUGUGGGUAUACAGCUCAAAGAAUUGCAGCAUGAGCUUGGAUGCACAACAGCAGUCCUCAGAACGAAGACUUUGGAAAUGGAGGUAUGAGAUUAUCAGGUAGUUUAUAAGUAUUCCUAUUUAUACUGUGCUGAGAGUUUUUUCCUAUUUUUCCGAUUAAUUUUAGGAGAAGGACAAGUUGAUUAAAGAACUAAGUAAGAAGAUUGGGUUCGAGGUAUCUAUGAAAGCAAAUUUAAUAUAUAUGCAUCUGUAGUUACUCUAUGGCCUCUAUUUUCCUCUUUGCUGAUAAUACUUCUCUUUUUCACUGCCUAAAUGCUAAUGCCGGGCAUGCUAAGAUUGUUGCUGAUGCACCUCACCCGGCUAGUGCUCAUAAGAAACGCAAACCCAAUAGGAAGCACACAUUAGAAAAUCAAGGUAAUUUUUUUGCCCUCAACAUUCAUGAAUUGUAGUCAUUGUUUCUGCAAAUACCUGUCAAUAGUUCGUCUUUAUUCGUUUUGGGUCAUGUAUUUAACUUCUUCUGUACUGCAUUGUUCCAUGAAGCAGCACUGCAGGGAAAGGAUCACAGAAGGUAAUGGCUAGCUUUGAGAUGCCACCACUACUAUUUGUGACUGAAUAAAUUGCAUCGAAGGUCCUCAAACUUCUAGUAUAGUUUCAGUUUCGUCCUCACAAUAGAGUCCUUAAACUUUGCCUUCAUAAGUAUCCAAGUACUCGCCAUGAAACCACCAAGCAACUUUGGACUUCUCAUUUGGCAGCUAUGUAGACGUUCCUGCUAAAUUUAGGGAAUUUAUAAGAGAGUGCUAAAAUCGGGGACCCAAUUGUGAAAAUUGAGGGCCGGUUACCAAAUGAAAACCUUAUAAGGUACAAUUUAUCCCUUUCAUAAUAUAAGCAAUAAUCGAGUAAUCACUCUCGUUUAUGUUCAAUCAGGAGGUCCUUAAGAAGGAGAUCUAUCAAAUUGACAUCUGAAUCAUCUGAACCUUCUGAAGACUCCUUUGAGAUUGAGGAUACCAAGAUUUCAGUUUGCUCACUUACCGGCAAAGCCUCCGAUGAAAACUCCUCUUUUCAGCUUGAAAAUUCCACCCCUGGUUCAAGUGCUUUUCACGAACAAAUGAAGAAUGAAUCAAACAGUGAUUAUUCAAGUGGGUCUUUGAAAUCUUGCAUUCAGGAAUUGAAGAUAUCUUCAAAUGGAAGGCCUAUGCGGAGGGCAGCUGAGAAGGUUCCUUCCUACAAAGAACUCCCUCUGAAUGUCAAGAUGCGACGGCCUUGAGCGGGUUUUCAAAACUUAGCAGAAUGUUACUAAAACACAGUUCAGCGCGCCAUCUGAGAGAUGGUCAUCUCACUCUGUAAGUGCAUGUUUUUUUGGUGUAAUCAAACUUUUUCUGUAUAGUUACUGUAGUCUUGGUUCUGCAAGCUUAUAUCUGUGAUGCGGAGUAUCUCCCUAUAGAUGCUGUAUGUAAAUGUUUUUGAAGGUGUAUUCAUUUCGAAGGCUGCGGUGGAACUGUAGGAGGAGCUGCAUUUCUAACUUUGUGGUGCAUUUUAUCUUACUGCAAUUUGCUAUAAAACUUAUCAUUCGCCUUCACAUUUAGGUUUGCCAUCUCUACCAUGCCAACAAGAUUGUCUAGGCUUUGAAAAGUCAUUUCUGGGGUGCAAACCGGAUUUUCGAGGCCCAAGCCCGGAUUACCCAACCCAGGGUAGCUUCUUGGGCCCAAAGCGUGGCGCCACAAUAGUUCUAUAUAAAAUGAAAAAGAAAAUCUUUAAUAUCAGUAACUGGACUUUAACAUUUUGGGUUUGUGUUGAGUCUGAUGAGUUGUUAGUGUUAGUGAGUUGGAUCAUUAUACUUAGUGUUAAAAUCGAUUUAUUCGUCGAAAAUAUAAGAUAAAUUUCACAUUGCUUGGAUUGAACCUGACGAGAACAAUAUGGUCUCAACAGGAGCCCCAGAUGGAAAAAGUAUUGGGUUUAAGUAUUUUGGACCAGUAAUUUGUGAGUUACUAACGAAUUGUUAUGAAUAAUGGGCUGGAUCACUACACAAAGCCCGGCCCAUUAACGGCCCAUAGUGCUGGAGAAAAGGGUGCCGAAUCCAGAUUCCGGGCGUAGUCGGUUGUCAACGCAAAACGGCAAAAGGCAGAGGAAAGAUUCUGGUAACCCGAACCUCCACGGUCCCCCUUCACAACAAAACAAAACCAGCGGAAUGGACGUGCUAAAUAAUGCCCCCAUUUUUCAUUUUUCAUUUUUUAUUUUUUUUUUUAAAAAGAAAUUCGUUAACUCUGCUUAUCAUCUUAUCUCUCGUUCGUUAAUUACUGCCCCGCAGUAUCAGCCACCUCCCUCUCACUCCUCUCGAUUUACUCCUCACACCUACUCACGUUGAGAGAGAGAGAGAGAGAGAGGGAGAGAGAGCAUUAAUGGCGUCGAUUAAUCUCUCCUCCUCUCCUAUACUCCGAAUCCCCUAUCUUCCUAACCAAUACCACCGAAAUAGGCCAUUUCCCUUCACCCUCCCCUCUUCUUCUUCUCCUCUCUCUGUGGAGGCGACCGAUUCGAGCCACUCUAGAAGCUUCCGCCGCUCGCGGCGGUGCGCCGCGUCGUCCUCCUCCUCCAACGGGCGCGGCCCCGAGGACGACGCCGCGAAGGAGGUCGAGAGGCUUCGAGAAGAGAAGCGCCGCGCCGAGCUCGCCGCGCGCAUCGCCUCAGGCGAGUUCACCGUCCAGCAACCCGGGUUCUCUUCUCCUCUCUCCUCUUUUUUUUUUUUUUGUGCCCUAAUUGACUAUUCUAGUAGUCGUUACUGAUGCUUCUACUCCCUUCUACUUCUCGUUCUUCUUCUCAAUAGAAGAUGGGCUUCGUCCGUGCGGAAGCUCUUGGUGGGGCUCGUCUUGAGAUGGGCCAGCGAUUUUGGCCCCACGGAAGGUCCCGAGAUCCCGCAGGCGAAGGGGUCGAUUCAAGCUGUUGGGGGGCAAGCCUUUUUUCUCCCCCUCUAUGAUCUUUUCCUCAGUUAUGGAGGUAUCUUUCGCCUCAUCCUUGGUCCCAAGGUAAGUAAUUACGAAUCUAUUUUAAUUUCUAUCUUCUAAUUGUGGUGGAAACAUGUUAAAUUUUGCAAUUUUGGCAAAUGGGUAGUGUUAAAAUUUUGAUUUUUACUCCUUUUUUUUAACCAGUCUUUUGUGAUUGUCUCGGAUCCGGCCAUAGCGAAGCACAUUUUAAGGGAGAAUUCUAAAGCUUACUCCAAGGUUUUGACUCUUUAUCUUCAUGUGUAGUUGACAUUUUAUUUACUUGUUAUUGAACUCGAGAGUAAAGAAGAGCAGUGUAGUAUGGUUAAGUUGGUAUUGGUGAUUGCAGGGCAUAUUAGCGGAGAUUCUGGAUUUUGUGAUGGGAAAGGGUUUGAUCCCAGCUGAUGGUGAGAUUUGGCGUGUUAGGAGGCGUGCAAUUGUUCCGGCAUUGCAUCAGAAGGUAAUAAAUUUUGAAAAUUGGGGAUUAAUGAGUAUUUGUCUUUGAUGAUUAGAGUGUAAUAUUGUGGGUUCCAUGAAUUUACUCAUUUGAUUUCAUCAAACAGUAUGUGGCUGCCAUGAUUGGCCUCUUCGGAGAAGCUUCAAAUAAGCUCUGCGAAAAGUUAGAUGCAGCGGCAUCAGAUGGAGAGGAUGUGGAGAUGGAAUCUCUGUUUUCUCGUUUGACUUUGGAUAUCAUCGGCAAGGCGGUUUUUAAUUAUGAAUUCGAUUCAUUAACACACGACAACGGGAUUGUUGAGGUCUUUGUUCAGCUACUUGUUUUCACAUUUUGGAAUUGCCUUUUCUUUUCCUUCAUUGCUUGAUCUUUUUUGCUUUAUUAUGCCUUCUUCCUCCAUGUUUCGAUCAGGCGGUAUACACUGUCCUGCGAGAAGCAGAACUUCGGAGUACUUCUCCAAUACCAACUUGGGAAAUUCCGAUAUGGAAAGAUAUAUCCCCUCGGCAGAACAAGGUUAAAGCAGCUCUUAAGUUGGUCAAUGAUACCCUCACUGAUCUAAUUUCUAUUUGCAAGGUAAACAAUCUGUUCCCAUAAGAUAAUGGAUUUGGAAUUCAUUCCUCAAACAAAACAGUAGUUGAUUCAGAAGUUGAAUAUCUUUGUUUUUGCACAGAUUAUAUAAUAUCACAGAAUUAGUCAAUUUUGACAUUUUCUUCAUAACCGUAGAGAAUGGUAGAGCAAGAAGAGCUGCAAUUUCACGAGGAAUACAUGAAUGAGCAAGAUCCUAGUAUUCUUCACUUCCUGUUGGCAUCUGGAGAUGAUGUACUAUUUCAGCCCUUCACUUGUGAACUUAUUGAAACUUUUUGCAUAUUUCUGAGGAAAAGAAAAUAAUGGUUUUGCAACUCAUACUAAGUCUUACUAAUCUCUUCCUCUUGUUAGGUUUCUAGCAAGCAGCUCCGAGAUGAUCUGAUGACGUUGCUCAUAGCUGGCCAUGAGACAUCUGCAGCAGUACUGACGUGGACCUUUUAUCUUCUUUCUAAGGUAUGUACAGUGUGGUUCGCUAGUGAUUAAAUAUAGUAUUCCAUGCUUGUUUCCUGAAGCAUUCUACAGAUUUGACUUCUUUCAUGCAGUUGAAUAUGCAUUAUUAUUGUCUGCUAUUUAUGUUCUUUGAUUGGUAUUAUGUAGGAACCGAGAGUUAUGGCCAAACUUCAAGAUGAGGUAAUUUAAGUUUUACUGCAUGAUAAAACUUUCAGCACAUGACAUUUGUCCACGCUUAGAAUGAACAAAAUCAUAUGAUGCUAUUUCUUUUUUGAGAUCCUCAGGUUGAUACCGUUUUGGGCGAUCGCCUCCCAACAAUAGAGGACAUGAAGAAACUCAAAUAUACAACUCGUGUGAUCAAUGAAGUAAGAACUCAUAUGUGAAUUGCUGUAAUUGACUAGAUAAGUGAUUAUCAGGUAUUAUACAUUCUUUUUCCUCUUUCUUCUUUGUUGCAGUCAUUGAGACUUUACCCUCAGCCACCAGUCUUGAUUCGUCGGUCACUUGACAAUGAUGUUCUUGGGAAGUACCCCAUUAAAAGGUAACGGUUUCUCAUGCACAUUCAUGAUCUUUUGGGCUAUUUUGAGUAUUAUUUUGUGAUUUUAUUAUCUGAUGGUUUAAGAUACGAGGUUCUAUUUCAAAUGGUAGGGAUGAAGAUAUAUUCAUUUCAGUAUGGAACCUCCACCGGUGUCCUAAGCAUUGGGAUGAUCCUGAGAGUUUCAAUCCUGAAAGAUGGCCUCUAGAUGGACCAUCACCUAAUGAGAUAAAUCAAAAUUUCAGGUACACAUUCUUAUCUAGAACCAAAUCUACUUAAGAUAGACACCCGAAAAUUAUAUUUGGAAUAUGUGCCACCAAGCCUGAGCCUAAGCCCAAUUUGAUGAAAAAUAGAGCCAUUCCUGUCUGCAUUUUUCUGUUGUGAGAUCCAGAUUUAUUCAUGAUAAAUACGCUUGGGCUGUGAACAUUAUCUUUUUUGCUUGUUUUCACUGCAAAACCACACUGAAUCCUUUAGGUGAAGUAAUUAAACAAAUGAAUUCUUAAGCAAUAUUAGAUAUUUUUCUGGCAAGUUUACGCAAAUAUUCGUUAUAUAAGUUAAUGAUGUUAACAUUGAAUGUCGCAGCUACUUACCGUUUGGUGGUGGGCCAAGGAAGUGUGUUGGGGACAUGUUCGCUACUUUCGAGGUAGUCUUCUUUUGAGAUUUCUGGUAAUUUUGUAUGUGUGCAGAUAACAGAUAGAUGCAUUUUGACCAAAACGUUGGGAUAUAAGAUUACCAAAAAUUACUCUACUAAUGGAAUAUAAAUACAAAUCGUAUGAGACAAUAUGGACUUUUGUGUUCACCUAAUUGGCAUGUAAUCAUCAAGAUUUUUUUUUUAUGCUUUAGACCGUCACAGCAACUGCGAUGCUUGUGAGACAAUUCAACUUUCAAAUGGCCCUAGAUGCACCCCCUGUAAGUCUUCCAGCUUUUCCUAAAAGCUCAUUUAAUUAAGCCAUUUGGCAACUCCAAAACAAAGCAUUUUCUAAUAUUAGAAAGAAAAUCAAAUUCAUGUUUGCAGGUGGAGAUGACAACAGGGGCCACCAUCCACACAACUGAAGGCUUAAAAAUGACUGUUACGCGAAGGACACGACCUCCCAUAAUCCCAAACUUGGAGAGUAAAGUAGUCAAUGUUAAUUCUGUUCCCACAGUUGUUUCAGAAGGGGACCAACAAGGUGAAGUCUCUACAACAGCUCAUAUUUGAUUAAUAGCAACCCUACAGUGUUAUUCAAAUACACUUUGAUUCAACGGUGUGGAACAAGUGUUUUUUUUCCCCCAAUUUUUUUCCCCAAUUGUUGAUCUAUCUUUCGCAUGCUGGUCAGUGUAAGCUGUCUUAGUUAUUUUUCCUACACCAUGUAGUGCUGUAAAUAUCAGAUAAACAAAUUUGUAAGCCAGAUUUGUGGCUGUCUCCUCUGUAUCAACUGGCUCUUAACAGUAUCUUAAAUUCUCUGUUCAAGUGGAACUAUUUUAGGUUGGUUAUCAUGUGACAUGUUUAAUAAUUGCUUUUGCACCUCGUUCCAUCUACUAACCCACUUGAAUAACUUGUUUUGAGAAAACAACACUUUAAGCAGAGGAUGUGUAUUCCAUGAAGACAUGCCAUCUAUCGUCGAACCACAGGUUUGUUGCACUAGCAGAAGAGAAUGUUUUAUUUGUUUUUAGCUCCUGAUUUACAGAUCUCGAGUUUUGGCUGUCCAACCGUACUUUGUACAUAUUUACAGAUAUACAGUGCAGUUUCGAACGGCAGUCCGGUAACUACACCAGCAAGGCUUCAAGCCCUCGCAGAACAUCGGUGCGCGUAACUAUACCUGCUUAGCACAGAUGAACUUGUUAGAUUCUCAAUGUUAGGCCUUCAAUAUUAAUUGCCUGUUAGUCCUGAUCUAUAGAACUACUCCAACUUCAGAAGCAACAGCAGCUAGGCUGUUGGCAAAUAAAAGUAUCUUAAUGUUUUUGCUGUAGAAGAAAGCUGAAAUCGAGUUUUCGGAGUUGGAAAGUAAAAAACUUUAAGUUUGAAACAUUUAUUUCUAAUACUAAGGCAAGUCGAGAGAUUUUGAUGAAAAAACUAUUGGCCAAGUAACGUCAUAAUAACAAGUUUGAUCUCUGUAUACAUACACAAACUCACCUAUGACUUGGUUUGAUUUUGAUGAAAAAACUAUUGGCCAAGUAACGUCAUAAUAACAAGUUUGAUCUCUGUAUCCAUACACAAACUCACCUAUGACUUGGUUUUUAUCAUUUACUAUUGGUAUCCUAUGGAUCUUCCUCUUGAGCAUUAGAGCUGCAGCAUCUGCAUACAUAACACAUAAAGUUCUUUCAAAACCAUUGUCAAAAACUACUGUAAAUUGUCACAUGAAGCAAACAUGCAAAAAAUUACCCGUGACAGUUUUCUCAGCAGGUAAAGUGAUUACAGGAGUUGUCAUCAUCUCACCAAUUCUUGUUCUCAACUGUUUAACAAAUGAAAGUAUGUAAGUGACCUUCCUUCAGUUUUGUGUGUGUGUGUGUGUGUGUGUGUGUGUGUGUGUGUGUGAGAGAGAGAGAGAGAGAGAGAGAGAGAGAGAGAGAGCAAACCCCAUUUGAGGCUUUAGCCUUGUCUUUCUUGGAGAUGAUUCCAACACAUUGCAGCUCGCCGUCGACCACCGGAAUCCCCGAGAUGCAGUCGAAGUGAUGGUUGAUCUCCUCAAGUGUCUGCUCCGCCUUAGCCGUCCAUACCGGACUCGACAUGACCGAACUAAGAACCGCCAACCGCCGCGACUGCCCAUGAAAACAAGAUCACAAUUACGAAGGAAUUCGAGAGAUCACAAACGAGUAAGAAAGAGAUCAAAGGGCACCUGAUCAUUCUCACUUGGGGCCUGGGACUCGAGAUAGACUCGGAGGUCAUCGUAGCUGAGGAGGGAGAAGUUCUCCGGCCAUUCGCCCGAGAUAAUUCCCUCCGGAUUCUCGUCGAGCUCCAGCCGAAUACUCCCGGUCGGAAACGCCGACGCUCGGCUCUUUACCGAUGUUUUGGUACGCGAGUGCGGCGUCGCGGAGCUCGGGUUGCUAGGGUUGUACUGAUUGAAAUUAAACGAGGGGGAGGUGGAUCUUGCACAAGGGAAAUGGAAUGUGGUGGUGCACGCCAUUUUUUGGGGGGAAGGUUCAGUUUGCAUGUCGCUCGUAGUGGCGAAUGAGAAUAUAUAGACACACAUUAUUUUUGAUGAACCGGGUCUACGUUUUCAAAUGGUGGGCCCUGGGUUUGAUCUUUGAGUUAAACGACCACGACUGGUAGCAUAGGUGUUGCAAUUAUUUUCGUCGUAACAUGCCCUGACGUGGACACCUGGCACGUCCUGAUUGGGUGGCGUGAUUCUUCAUGGCCCCCACCCCCCAUGGGGGUGUGAGUGGAUAAGGUUUGAGAACAAAGUGUAUGCAUAUCCACAGUUAGAAUAGAAGCUGGAAAAUAAUGCUAGAGCCAAGUCUGAGACUGUGAGUGGAUGGUGAAGUAGCGUUUUGGCUUUGAGCAUGCGCAGCAGAGCCAGUUGAACUUGCCCACUUAAUUGUUUACUGUUCAGUAUUCCGGCGGCUACCUAUCGAAACAGGCGGCUGAAAGGAAAAAAAUAUCGUUUAUGAUCAAUAACUGGACUAUCGUGAACUAAGACCUACAAAAAGUUAUUAUUCCGUGUCUCAACAUCAGCUGGUCAUCCAUCACAUUUCAUACACAAGUUAUGUAAUUUCUAUGCGGCAUUAAUUUUGUUUUAAAAUUUUUUUUAAUAAAACAAAUUGGAUGGUGAUUAGGCCCAGAUCCGAAAUACAUAUGCAUCUAUUUGGGCCUACCCUUGGCCCAAACAGAAGUGUAGUAGUAAUAAUGGGCUGUUGGGCUCUGAGCCUUUGUGCCGUGUUUAAAAAUACUCGGGCCGUGUUAGAGCCCCAACACUACUUAUCGUUCACACGAAAAUGCGAAUCUCUCUCUCUCUCUCUCUCUCUCUCUCUCUCUAUUCCUCUCGACGCCUCUGUCGCUCUCUUCUUCUUCUUCCUCUCCACCACCACCUCCACCUCCUCAAGCUUAUCCAUGGCCACCGCCGCCAUUGGAGCCCACCUCCUCCCCCUUUUCCCUCGCCCUAGCCGCGUCCUCUUCGGCCACCGAUCCUUCGCCGCCACCCCCAUCCCCGCCCAUCGCGCGUCGCCAUUAACGCAGCUUCGGAGGAGUUGGCCCUCCAAAUCUAAUCCCUCCUCGCGCUUCUCCCCUGUUGUUGCCUCCCAAUCCAACUUCUUCAGAGGUUCGCUUCACUUGCCCCCAAUUUCGUUCCAUCUAUUCCUCUAAUUCGUUUGCUUCAGUAGGAAUAUGGUUUUAGGAUGGGGCUUUUUUAUAGUGUCUUUUGUGUUUGGUUAGUGACCUUGUAAGAGAUUAUUGGUUCAGAACAAAGGGGAUCGGUUUGAUCCAAACAUUUAAACCUUGCUUAAAUGUUUGGUGUUUGAGCAAAAUAAUGGUACUAAUAUAAUCUCUUUAGCUAUGUAGUUCUUCACAUUUUUGUAUCAAAAUGGACAUGGCGGAUUGCGAAAGGCCAUUUUGUUUCAAUUGGAUUAAAACUAAUUGAAGGACUUGGAUGUGUGUGUGUGUGUGUGUGUGUGUGUGUGUGAGAGAGAGAGAGAGAGAGAGAGAGAGAGAGAGAGAGAGAGAGGUGUUUAGAAAACACGCAUCUUAAGAGUGAUGAAAUUUAGUGUGACUCACGAUGUUAAGUACUACUUAUUAUUCAGAUUUCAAAUAUAAAGCUACCUCUUUGUUGAUUUAUUAGCUUUGUAAGCUUAUCUCACAGUUUUGGUGAUCUUCUUUCUAAAACUUGUUUCAUUUGUCUUUUAAGGCAAUUAGUGCCACCCAUUUCCGCCGUCUAACUUGCGCUUCAAUAUUUCGUUAGUUGUUCGGGCAGCAUGGAGGGUCAGUAAGGAUGUAAUCGAGGCAGGAACCAGUUUUGUGCCUGUACGUUUUUGCUUCCGAAUUCCCACUUUCCGUUGCGUAUUUAGCACCUACUUUUGGUCAAGAAUUUGUUUCUGUUUCAAAAGCACUUGCAAUGAGUUUUACGCACUUGCGCUUUUGUGGCAGGCUGCAGUUCCAAGACCAGUAGCCAGGGUUAGUGUUGCUGUUGUUGCAGUAACCGUUGCCCUCUUUCUACUAAAAUCGUUCCUCUCCACCGCGUUCUUCGUAUUGGUAUGUACUCUUAUCAUAAAUUCCUGAGAAUUGUAAUGGAUUAUGUCAAGGAUAUCAUGCAGCUCUGUUCAAUAUUAGUUGUAAUUCUGGAACUCUUUCAUUUGAAUCGGAGAACUGUUAUGCCUAAUUUCUGAAACAUUUACAAGUGUGUAGCACUUCCUCAUUGAGUAAUCCCUCUGUGAAAAUAAGCAUUUUACUGGUCUUUAACCUUUUAAAUCGGCUUCAUAGACUUUUUCUACUUUAAUUUUUGUAUAAUAACAAGUGACUUCGAGUAGUAAUUAAUGACCACGCUUAUGACUCAUGUUCAAUGUCAACAUUUUUCUCCCUAAAUGUUUACGUAAUUUGCGAUGUGAGCCCCGAACUAUUGCAUACCAAAGAGCUACUUUUGAGUGUUGAUACUUUUGUAGGUUUUUAGGUUGGAGACAUGAUAUUCUUAGUUAAUACUUUGCGGAGAGAUGACUUUUUUUAAUUUUUGGGACCAACAGGCUAUGAUGGCACUCAUAUAUUUCGUCUUCGUCGCAUUCAACACUGAUGAGGUCUCGGGAGGUAGUGGUGGAAGUGAGAGCACAACAUCAACCGAAGAAACCUUGGAAGAAGCUCGGCGUAUAAUGGAGAAAUACAAGUAAAUUUGUUAUAACUUAAUACCAAUUUUAUCGUAUUUUAUUUUUCUUAUCUGUUGUACUUGUAUUCGGCAAUUUGGUAGAGAGUAAGUCUAUAGGCGUAUAGUUGUAAAUGAACAUAUGGAGAAUGGAAAGAUAACCACCUUUUCAUCUUAUCCUCUUUUGUUGUUAAUGUGUGCUUUCUAGUGUUUUAUUAUUGAAUUUAUUAACAGGGCUUCUCUUUUAUUCAAUCAUCCAAGCUAAAUGUAAGUAGAGGCUUCUGCAUGACCCACAUAUUUUUAAGUUCGCGAAGUUGGUCGUGUUUUUGUUAUUUAAAAGAUUGAAUUGAAUAGCAUAAGAUGAAAGAUUAAUGUUGGGAGAGACGAGUACGGGGCAUUCAUGGCAACACAAUGCAUAUGAGUUCUAUGAAGUUGUAUGGAAAUUCUCUUCCAUCACUCAAUUUGAGGAAUAAUUAGAAUUCGCAAGCUUUGAAACUUAAUGCCUUUCAACAUGCAUAACAUGUCUCCCAUAGGGUUGAUACAAACAUAGUUCCUAGCUGCUUCGCUCCUGUGAAGGAGAUUAUAUGCAGAUUUUAUUAGUAAAGCCUUCUUCUAAAGUAACUAUCGUAUCGAUAGCUUUGCGUCGCAUAUUCAACCUAUCUAUUCAUCUAAACUGAUGAUGCAACGAAGGCCUUCGCCGUUGAUCAUGUAGUCAAAUGCCUUGUUGAUAUCUGAGAACGGCAGUCUAUGAGUGAUGAACUUCUCCACUUCCAGUUGCUGCAGACGCAAGAGAGAAAGAAACUCUUUGUGGUCAGCCGACACGAAAAUCACAAAACGAGAAGGCACUAACACUAAAAAACACCCCCACCUUCUUCAUGUACAUAUCGACAACUUUGGGGAGAUCUGUUCGAGGCUUGUAGUUUCCAAAGAAGGUUCCUUUCAGAGUCCUCUCGUUCAGGAAAUUUAUCGGCUUAGUCUUGAACGAGUCAUCUUUGCUGGGCACUCCGACAAGUACAGCAACACCCCAACCCUGCAUAUUUUAGGUAUCUCACAUUAAUUAGCCUGUAAUUCAAAGAGAAGAUUUUCGUAAGCCCAAUGAAAUAAAAAGCUUAGAACUCUGGUUGAGAACUAGAUAUCAGGCAAACAAAAAGUCUAGAGUUCUUGUUGGAGCGGAAAGGUGAAAUGAGCUUUCGAACGCUUAAAAGCAGAAGCUCAAUUUUGAAGUUUCUGAUGCUAUUUUCAGCGGAAAGCUCUUAUAGAAACCAAGUAGAGAGUUAGUGAUUCUUCUUUAAACUAUCCAUUUUGCAGAAGCAGCAGGCGAGAAACAAAACACUAGCCAAGUUACAUACAUCAUGAACACAUUCAAAAGCAGAUAUCAUUGCAUUGAUGUUGCCCGUGCACUCGAUACUCCUGUCAACUCCGCCAUUGGUCAUCUCUGCAAUGACCUGUCCAAAGAAUAGAUGUUACUAGAAGUGGAGAACCUACUUAUGAAUAUGUUGCGGUACACAUUAAACAAGAACAAACCUCUUGCACAGGUUUGCCAUGAUCCUUUGGAUUGACGAAAUCCGUGACACCAAAUUUCUUGGCUGAAACCAUAGUAGAAGACUUAGAAGGAUAUUUAGCAUAAGGAAGAAGAUCUAAAUAAAGAGUGGUUAUAAUAAAAGUAGUCAACACACCUUCGCUGAAUCUGUUGGGAUUCAAAUCAACACCGAUGAUUCUAGAUGCUCCAGCAAUUCUUGCACCUUCCGCAGCCUAUAUAGUAGCAGCACAUAUAACAUUCAGGAACGGAACCUACGAUUGUAAUACUCGAGAACAUUAUAUGGAGAUAUUAGGUACUGUUUCAAUCAAACUUACUGCAAGACCCACAGCUCCCAGCCCAAAUACCGCGACUGUCGAGCCCUUCUUUGGUUUAGCAACAUUCAGAGUAGCCCCCAAACCUGAACAAUACAAAGAAUAUACGAAUGUACUCUACUAAGAAUAGGGCAUUCAUCAGUAAUCGUGCUCAUUUUAUUGUCCUUAUUAAAGCGUCGCUCGAUCGACAGGUAAAUGAUUUGUUCCCUUAAGAUUGGGAUUUUUUGCACACAUACCCCCUCAGUACACAUGUUUUCGCACAUAUACCUCAACUAAACCUUGGAUCAACAAAGCUACCCUCAGUAUAAUCGAUACCGCACAUACUGAUGAAAGGGCAAAAAAGUAUGGAUUGGGGCAAUGUAGAGACCUGUUGAUAUGCCGCAGCUGAGAACGCAGACUUUGUCGAGCGGAGCGGAGGGGUCGAUCUUGGCGAGGCAGCCGGAGUGGAUGACUGUGUAUUCACUGAAGGUGGAUGUGCCAAGAAAGUGAUAUAUGGGACUCCCGUUCUUGAAGAACCGUGCAUUGCCGUCGCUAAGCAUCACGCCCCGAUCGGUGUUGAUUCUAAGAAGGUCGCACAUGUUGCUCUCCUCCGACUUGCAGUGCGCGCACUCCUUGCAUUCUCCGGUGAAGACGGGAAGUACGUGAUCUCCCUUUUUAAGAUCCGUCACGCCUUCACCGACACUCUCCACAAUUCUGUGAUUGGAAUUAACAAAACACGAUACCGAAAAACCGUGGGAGAUAAAAAUUCGUGAAGGAUCCUUCGACAUCUCGACGAUGAGUUGUAAAAUAGAUCAUGAACAGCGUAAAAUGAAUGAAACAGGACAAGCCAGAGAGUUCAUGUGAAGAGUGAACAUACCCUGCUGCUUCAUGGCCGAAUAUGCGCGGAAAUAGUGGAUUUUGCCCCUGAAUAUCAUUCAAUGAUAAAUUCAAUAGAGAAAACGGAAUUGACUGAAAUGCUAGGUUAACCAAAUAAGAAAUUAGCACAAUCGUGGGGAUCGAAAUAAAUGAGUUCAGAAUUAACUCCGAUACUAUGUUACCCACAAGAUCUAAAAAGAGUUGGGGAAUAUAUUUAACAUUCCCACUCACACGUAUGGACAAAUUUAAUCAAAUAGAUGUUAAAGGUAUGGAUCAAACUAGAAUCAGCUCUGAUACAAUGUUUUGUCUCGAAACUAAGAUCUUGUUUAUAUAUCAGAAUAAUAAUAAUAAUAAUCUGGUAGGAUAGUAUAUUUCACUUGCGCGUAACAUCUAGGAAUCAUAAUAGAGAAUCAUGGUGAAAAAUAAAAGAGAAUAUCAGUAAAUAAGAAAUUUGUGGGAACCUUGGCUUCCCAGAAGUAGAGAUCGGUGUGGCAGAGGGAGGUGUACUUGAUCUUCACCCUCACCUCCAUCGCCUGCGGCGGCGCCACCUCCACCCGCUCUAUCACCAGCGGCUUCCCCGCCUCCCACGCCACCGCCGCUAAUAAACAAAAAUUAUUCACCAUUCCAAAAAUUCACCACCCCCCCAAAAAAAAACAAAAAACAAAAAAACAACCCCACUAAAUUAUUCGGUUAAACAAACAAAAAAGAGCUACAAAAAAAAAAAAAAAAAUAUACCCUUGCAGGGAAUAACACGUCCAGCAGUGGCCGCCAUGGCUGGCUAUUUUCGGAGUCUCCUUCAAUGGCGAUGAAACGAAGGUCGAGGAGAGAGUGGAAAAAAAAAAAGAAAAAAAAAAAAGGGAGUGUGGAGGGGAAGGGUGGUGGUAUUUUUUUUGAUCGAUGGGCGUAGUUUUGGUCGAGUAAUUCGUUCGUGGUUUUGUUAUGCUUUUUAUUAAUUAAUUAAUUUUGCUUUUUGAUCCGUGAAACCUUGUGUUGAGUCUAAUCACAGUGUAUACGACUAUAAUACGGUUGGGAUGGGAAAAUGAGACGUGGUGACUCACCAAAUGUUUGGCCCGAGUUGUUUUCUUGGCGUGGGCCCCACCAAUACGUGAUGCUAUUAUUAUUUUUACUUUUACAAAAUUAAGCAACAUUUCAAUUGGCUUUAACUUAAAAAAUCGAUUUUGGAAGAGACCGAGAUCAUUUGGUUAGAUGUAAUUAUAAAUUCAGUACAGUUAGAAAUACAUACAGUUAAAAAUAUAGCAGUUGUAAUUAUAUAUAUUAUAUUUAGUUGGAUGUAAUAGAAAGCGCUGUAAUUAUAAAUAAUUUAUUUAGUUACAUGUAGUUGAAAAAUAAUUUUUAAAAUUUUAUCAUUUUAUAUAUAUGAUGAUGAGAUUAGUUUCAAAAUAAAAAAUUUUAUUUUUUACUUAAAAAAAUAAUUAAGAAGAUAAGCAUACCAUUUACUCUCUUCAAUUAUUACAAUUGAAAUUACGGCUAAUUUAAGCUUAGUUCAAAUUACUGCAGUUGGAUCUUCUGCUGCAAUUUACUGCAGUUGAAUCUUCUUCUGCAAUUCUUACUGCAGCAUUUGAAGUUAAAUAUAUCAAACCAAACACGCAAGAUAAUUUAAGAAUAAUACGAGCUCAUGGAGUUCGAUUUUUAUGCCUCAAAACAUGCAGAGCAUGUUAUUGCUCAUAGAGUGAGUACAAAAUUACAAACAUAGUUCCAGAUUUGCUUCACUCCCGUAAAGGGAGAUUAUAUGCAGAUUUUAUUGGUAAGCACUUCUAAAGUAACUCUCGUAACGGAGUAACGAUUACUUUUUGCGCCGUAUAUUCGGCACAUCUAUUCUUCCAAACUGAUGAUGCAGCGAAUGCUUUGGCCCUUGACCAUGCAGUCGAAUGCCUUGUUGAUCUCCGAGAACGGCACUCUGUGAGUGAUGAACUUCUCCACUUCCAGUUUCUGCGGACGCAAAAGAAACAAGAUCGGGGACUCUUCACGGUCGGUUCAACACGAAAAUCGCUAGAUGAGAAACCACUAACACUUUAAAGACACCCACCUUCUUCAUGUACAAAUCGACGACUUUGGGCAGGUCCGUUCGCGGCUUGUAGUUCCCGAAGAAGGUUCCUUUCAGAGUCCUCUCGUUCAGGAUAUUUAUCGGCUUCGUCUUGAACGAGUCGUCCUUGUGGGGCACUCCGACGAGCACAGCAACACCCCAACCCUGUAUAUUUUCAGAGCUUCUUGUUAGAGUGAAAAGCUGACAUAAACUUCUCAGAGCUGUUCGUUGCUUUGCUCUAGAGAAACUUCAAGUGAAGCGAGAAACAAAAAGACUAGAAUUAUCAAUUACGUACAUCGUGAACACAUUCAAAAGCAGAAAUCAUGCAACCGAUGUUGCCCGUGCACUCGAUGCUCCUGUCAACUCCGCCGUUGGUCAUCUCUGCAAUGACCUGUCCAGAGAAUAGAAGUCACGAGAAGCGGAAACCCUACAUACAUCAAUCGAUCAAUAUUAGGUAACCACACUUAUCGAUCGAGAAUAAACCUCUUGAACAGGUUUGUCGUAAUCCUUCGGAUUGACGAAUUCAGUGACACCAAACUUCUUGGCUGAUAUCACAGUAAAAGAAGAAUUACAGGGAUUUUAGGUGAAUUGAUGUGCACAUAACAAAGAAUGCGAGAUAUUCAAUUACCUUCCUCGAAUCUGCUGGGAAUCAAAUCGACACCGAUAAUUCUAGAUGCUCCGGCUAUUCUCGCACCUUCUGCAGCCUAAAUGGUAACGAUAAAACUAACAUUCAGAAAUUGAAUCGAGGGCCGCGAACUACAAAUGAUAGAUGAAGAUCUUAGGUUCUGUUUCUAUCCAACUCACUGCAAGGCCGACAGCUCCGAGCCCGAACACCGCAACCGUCGAGCCCUUCUUCGGUCUAGCAACAUUCAGAGUAGCCCCCAAGCCUGACAACAGAAAGUGUUACAUCAACUCAAUUCCGAUCAAGCGCAGCAUCAAAUAAUCUGUCUCGUUAGGAUCUUGAAUGUUGAGCCGGUGUCGAGACCUGUUGAUAUGCCGCAGCUGAGAACGCAGACUUUGUCGAGAGGAGCGUAGGGGUCGAUCUUGGCGAGGCAGCCGGAGUGGACGACUGUGUACUCGCUGAAGGUGGAUGUGCCCAGAAAGUGAUAUAUGGGAGUGCCCUUCUUGGAGAACCGCGCGUUUCCGUCGCUGAGCAUCACGCCACGCUCGGUGUUGAUUCUAAGAAUGUCGCACAUGUUGCUCUCCUCCGACUUGCAGUGCGCGCAGUCCUUACAUUCUCCGGUGAAGACGGGAAGUACGUGAUCUCCCUCUUUAAGUUCCGUCACGCCUUCGCCGACACUCUCCACGAUUCUGGGAAUUGGAAUCAACAUAAAACGAUACCGAAAAACUAUUAAAUAGAUCAUGACCGGAGAAAAAGAAAAUGAAUGAAUCAGGGAGAAGUCGGAGAAUUCAUGUGAAAAAUGAACACACCCUGCCGCUUCGUGGCCGAAUAUGCGGGGAAAUAAUGGACUUUCACCCUGAAAAAUCAUUCAACUACGAAUUCAAUAGAGCAGGAUUAUGGAUUUUGAUAAAAUGUUAGGAGAAAGCGAGAAACAAUUAAUCUGAUUUGAUGCAGUGCAGAUGACUGAUAACAACAUUUUCCCAAAUGGUUCAUGGGAGGAGAUGCAUCAUCACGUGUUCUCCUAAUUUGUGGAACGACUCUUCUCACACAGACAAAUAGCGUGAUUUAUAAUAUAUUAUGUGACACAGCAUAGAGAAUGGUGUUUUUGUUAUUUAUAUUAAACACUUUUUUUUUUUCGCUUACUAAAUUUGAAUAAAAUGGGAGAAUAUUAAAUAAUACUUAAAAUCUGGUGAAACUCGAACUCAUGAUUUCUUACUUUAAUAUCAUAUUAAAUUAGCCGAUAGUUUACACUUUACUUUUUUGUAGUUAAAAACAUAAAUUUAACAUAAAUUUAAGUGUUAUGACAUGAAAUUGCUGUGCGUAUCGGACUGUGUAGAUUAAUGAUGUGCCAAUACAUAAUGUCAUGAAUUAUUUAUUUUUUUUAGCAACAAAAUUUUUUAAUUGCUUAUUAUAUAUCUUUAUCAAAUCUUUUAAGUUUUACUGAGAAAAUUAAUUGUCAAAUUUUUAAAAAAAUGAGCUAUACUAUUGACACGGGACAGUAUUAUGUCGAUAUCUUAUUAGCACGACAAAACUGCACAGUGGAUACAGUUCGUGUUGAUGGACAUUUAAAUUCUUGGUUUAUGAAAUUUAUCACUUUACUACUACGACAUCUAGCGAUAAGUUCUAACGGUUGAACAAAAAUACAAAUCAUAAAAUAACGAAAUAAAACUUUUCAACGACAAAUCAAAAAUACGCGCGAAAUGGUAAGUAAAGUUUACCCGAAAAAUAAAACCAUCUCCAAAGAGAAAAAAAAUAGCAAAGAGCAGUAGUACAUGCCUUGGCUUCCCAGAAAUGGAGGUCCGUAUGGCAGAGGGCGGUGAACUUAAUCUUCACCCUCACCUCCGUCGCCUGCGGCGGCGCCACCUCCACCUCCUCUAUCACCAGCGGCUUCCCCGCCUCCCACGCCACCGCCGCUAAUAAACAAAAAUCAUUUACGAAAAGGGUAAAUUAUUCGAUUAAACAUAUAAAAUAAAAUAUAUUACAAUGAUGAUGAUGAUGAUGAUGAUACCCUUGCAGGUGAUAACACGUCCAGCGGUUGGCGACAUGGUUGUAAAGAAGGUCGAGAUGGGGUGCGGAAUUAAUGGAGGAUGCUUGGAGAGGUGAAGCAGAGGAGGGUGUGGAGCAAAAGAGAAGCAAAAGAGAAGAUUAAUGGAGAGUGGUAGUAUUUUGAAUAGAUGGGAGAGGAGAGUACUCGUAGCUUUACUGACUCUCUCUCUUGCAUUUAUAGGAUUCUGACGUGGCUCGAACUCAUAAACUCCUGAUCAAAUACCAUAUGAAAUAAUUAUUGUACGAUAAAAUUUUAUAUUUAUAUAUUUUUAUAUUUAAUAUUUUUCAACAAAAUCUCCUUGAGGAGUCUUUACUUCGCUACCAUGCAUCGGUUUUAAUUAUAUUCAAAAACUAUAAUUUUCUCCUCCAAAAUUUAAAUCAAAAAUUUUAAAUUUUAAUGUUGAAAAAACUCAAUAAAUAUUUUUAAUAAAGAUAAACUGAUACGUUACAGUAAAUUAUAAUUUUGUAAAUAUAAUCCUCUAACUUUGCACUGAAAUUUUAUCUGUAUUUAUCAUACUCUUUUAUUUAUUUAAUUUCGCAUUUCUUGGGCGGUUGGGGACUUGGGGUGGAGCUGCCAAGUGUGGAGACUCUUUUUCGUCGCACACCGCACGUGUAAUGCAACGUUAGCAGUUUGCUGAACAAAAAAAACAUUAAAUUACUUUUAGGGGAGAGAGAUGGUGAAACUAUUUUGUCUUUUUUUUAAUAUAAGGUAAUUAAAAUUUUGAAAAUUUUAUGUUUUUUUUUCUAUGUGAUUGAAGGAUAGUAGUUUGAUUUUGAUAAUUUAGAAGGUCCUGACAUUUGUGAUUUAAAAGAAUAAUAAUAGAGUUAUCAAUUUUAAAGAUUUGAAUAAGUAAUUUGAUGAUAUUAUUUUAUAUGAUGAGAAUUUUUUUGUGACGUAAAAGUUUAAUUUGUGGUCGAUAAAAAUUUUAGCAUUCAUAGUUUGCUAGAAUAGUGCAUUACACAUAUAAGUUAUUACGUUCUAAUAUUUGACUAUAUUCUUUUAACCUCUAAUAACAUUACAAAAUCUCCAUUUAUUUCAAAAUCUAAACAUGUAGGAUCUAAAUCAAAUAUGUAGCACAACCAGCUAAGAACUCGAUUAUUGGUAUACUUGUGUUAAAUAUAAAAAUGUUUAAACACCGUUCUCUAACCGCUUAAAUUUCGGUUGUUUCACAUGGUAUCAAAAUAGCAGGUCCUGAGUUCGAGUUAUACCAGACUCCUAGCAUAUUAAUUUUCUCCCAUUUAAUUCAAACCCACGUCAUGAGCCAACAAAAAAAUUUCCGAGCCCAGAUGUGAGGGAGAAUGUUAAAUAUAAAAAUAUAUAAACACCGUUCUCUAAUAGCUUAAGCUUUUAGAAUGCAAUGAUUGUUACACAUGGUAUCAGAGAAGAAGGUCCUGAGUACGAGUCACGCCAGGCUCCUAGCAUAUUAAUUUCUCUCAUUUAAUUCGAGCUCAUGUCAUGGAUCGACUAAAAAAAUUUUUGAGCCCAGACGUAAGGAGGGGUGUUAAAUAUUAAAAAAACCAUAUUCAAACUUAUCUAAAGUUAGUAUUGUUUUUGUGAUUAUGAUUAAUGAUGAAUGGCGCAUGUCACGUAGGAGACGAUCGCACCAAAUUUUUGAUCGUUUCGUUUGGACGGUCCGAUCAUCCUUGAUACGUGUCCUUCUCUCCCUCGGGAGUGCAAGAGCUGGCUCGGGCGCGUGGACCAGUUGGAUUAAAAACUUUAUACUUUUUAUUAUUUUAACAUAAGCCCAUCGACACGUAACAGUUGAACCCGAGAACCGCUCCCAUAGUUUUCGAAAUAUGUAAUAACACUUUUUGAGUUGCCUACCAGGGUUUCUAACACUACUACAGAUCCAACCAAAAUUUCAUCCUUUUACAUUAGUAUUACAUUGUAUAAAUAACUUAUUUACCUCACUUCUACACGUCGUGCUUCAAUAGCAUUAAUUUUUAAGAAAAAGUUAAAAUGUACCGAGGCUGAAAAUAUAAGACCAUCAGAUUUUGAAUUUAAAAUCUCGAAUACCAACUAUCGAGUUUUUUACCAUCUGUGGUCAUAUGUUUCGGAUGCUUGGAAUGCCUUCUCUUUACUACUACAAAAUAUUUUUACGCCUCCCACUUACUGUCCCAUUAGAGAAUAGAAUUGGUUCGAAAUAAAACCCGGAAAAAAAAUUCAGAUUCAUUUGCAGAUUCAUUUGCAUCCUUAGUGCUCACGGCCUCGCCCCAAAUUUCCUUGGGCCACGGUGACGAUGGGUCUCAAAGCGCUGUUUAUUUAUCUUUAUUUGGCCCAACCCAAGUACGUUAAUGGGUAGGGCUUUGAGAGAGUUGAAACCGCAUUGGGCCGCGGCCGACAUUGGACAGCAAACAGGAAAACUUAGAGAACAAACGGGGCGGAUACGGAGGCGUAGGGGUGGCAAUCCAGAUCGCUGCUCGCGAGCCAGCUCGUGUUCGGCUCGAAAUGAGCUCGAGAUCAGCUCGCUCGUUUAGUAAACGAGCCGAACACGAGCUGAAUUUUUCAGCUCGUUUAAUAAACGAGCCGAACACGAGCUUGGGUUAGCUCGCUCGUGUUCGACUCGAUAACAGCUCGAGUACAUAUAUUUUAUAUUUAUAUAAUUUAUUUAAUUUAUAUUUUUAUAUAUAAAUAAUUAAUUAUAUAUAAUAUAUAUUUUUAUUAUUUAAUUUUUAGCAAAAUAAAAAUAUAAAUGCGAGCUUAAUUAUAGAAAGACUUCAUUUAUAUGUAAAGUUUCAACUAUUAGAUCAAAGUCUAAUGUAUAAAAUUUAUAAAAUUUUUUUUUAUACAUAUUUAAUCUAAUUCUUUUUAAUUUAUUGUCGUUGACGUACAGUUCGUGAGCCAGCUCGCUAUCGGCUCGUUUAUUAACAAGCCGAACAUAGACUGAAUUUUUCGACUCGAUAUCUUAACGGCCGGCUCAUGUUCGGCUCAAUUAAUAAACGAGCCGAACACGAGCUCGCUUGUGCGUGUCGCUCGUUUACACCCAUACGGAGGCGGAGAGGAAUCCUACCUGCCAUCCAUUUGGGGAUGGGAAAAAUAAGGGAUUAUUUCCACACCUAUUCCCAAACAAAAAUAAAAAGUGAAUAGCUAUUCCAUCCUUAAAUUUAAAUUUUAAAUUUUAUAUAUUUAUAAUUUAUAAUCUUAGAAUUAAAAUUUUAUAAUUUUAAAUUCUAAAUUUAAAUUAAAAUUUUAAAAUUUUAAAAUUUUAAAUUUGAUAUUUAGAUUUUAAAUUUAGAUUUAAUUUUAAAUUUAAAUUUUGAAUUUUGAAUUUUUUGAAUUGGGAUUUAAAAUUUAAAUUUAUAAAUUAUAUAUUUAAAUUUUUAAUUUUAAAUAUUUAAAUUUAAGUAAUAAUAAUAUAAAGGAUAAUAUUAUUAUUUUUUAUUUAUAACUAUUCAUUAUUCUUUUUAUUUUAUUUUAUCUUUUUAAAUGCUAUUUUUUUAUUUUUUUAAAAUAAUUUAAUUUUUAUCUAAAUAUAAAAUUUGUCUAUUUUAUCUUUAUAUCUAAUUUUUUUUAAUCCCCAAUUUCAUUUGGAAUGGGUCAAAAGUUCAUAACUAAUAAAGAAUCUGUCAAAUGCGGGUACGAACAAUACAAGCGUCAUAAAUGACGGACGUACAUUCCCAAUUUCCGAAGCAACAAAUUAUAGAUGCGGCGCGCUUUUGUAGCGGAUACACGCCAGUGUUCACACUUCACACUCUAUUGUAAGAGGAAUUCUAUACUGUCAUAUUUGUACCACGUCAUCAAUAAUAAGUUAAUUAUAUAUUUUUUUAAAUAAAAGUAUAAUAAAAAUAUUUUUUUAUAAUUAUGAUGGGACAUAUAUCUUUAAAAGUAGAUAUUUGAUUGAUUUGUUACGCCACGUCACUAAUAUAUUCGUUGCAUUCUAGAAUUUUUUCUAUUGUAGAUAUUAGUUUUAACUGAUCAAAACAUACUUGGUGUCCCUGGAGCAAGUGACUAAGGACUUGAUGGUUGAUAUUCGAGACCUAAGUUCGAAUUCUAGUUGAUUCACAUUUCUGGCUAAGUUUAUUUCUAAAUAAAAUAAAUGAAGCGGGUAGCGUGCUAUCUAUCUCUCAAAAAAAAAAAAAAAACAGAUCAAAACAAAUAAAUAAAAUAAAAAUAUAUACUAUAUAAAAAUUAGUAUAUACUAUUAAAUAAGAUGUGCUAAAAUUAUUAUUAUUAUAUUUUGAAAUAGAGUUUGGGUAUAGUAUUUUUUAAAAAUUCAAGCAUUUGAUAUUUGUAAAAUUUUCACUAUUAGAUUUAUUCUUUUAAUUAAUUCUGCCUUUUAUAUCAUGCUAUUCUAUCAAUCAUCCACUCAAUUCUAUCAAUCUAUAAACACCAAUAAGUUGCCUCUUUUAAAGAACCCAAUUUUUAAAGUAAAUAUUAUUUUUUAUCGUGCUUUCUUGCUCUUCUGUCUAGUAAUUUUAAAUUUGAGUUAAGUCUCCAUCUAAUUCUUAUAUAUAUUUUUAAUUAUAAAUAUUUGAGGUAUUUAUACAAAAUUUUUUUCUUUUUCGUAGCAACUAUGUACAUAAGAGAUACUACAAACCACACUUUCUGUGUCAUAUGAGAAAAUAAAUGAUCUAAUUGACCAUUUAUAUAAUAAUAAUUUAAAUAUUUUUUUUUGUUUUUGUAAUUUUGUGAGAUAUGAAAAAACUUGUUAAAUAUUGCGUGUGUAUAUGUAUACUGUAUACAUAGAGAGAGAGGAUAAGUACUCUCCUAUCGUCCCAUGUGAUCAUUUAUUAUCCAUUUAGAUCUCCUCACGGAACCAGUUAUGCGUACAACCGGACUCUGACUAUUUAUGCUGCCUCAUUAUUACAGGCUACUACUUUUGGUGCAUACACACAUCCCACUAAGGUGACACGUGGCUUCAUUUUAUACGCCUUCCUAGCUCCCCGCCAUAUUAUGAGAAAUUUUUGGCUGGACCGGGCUCACCUUCCAACAGUGGACCAUCUAAAAUCACCUUCUACACAUAUGUAGUCCCUUUAAAUCAUCACCGUUUAAAUGGUCGUUUUUCAAUUUUUUAAAAGGAUUAGAAGUUUAGUGGACGGCUGUGGUUCCGACGAAGAACGGUCCAUCGAUGACGUGGUGAAUAUAGUUUAAUGAAAAAUAUCAGUGUAUAAUCAUUGAAAAGCCGAGAAAAGAACCAGCGGGAUAGUUUAUCCGAUGGCGUACACGGUACACGGUACACCCUAUCGUGCGGCCGCAUAAUAAAUAUUUAUGCGUGCGUCUGAGGAUGUAAUCCUCGUAGAGAUAUAUAAACGCCCCAUCAUCGAAUCCCCCGACCAUUUCCGCCCGAGUAAGCGUGUGAAUCUCUUCAUUGUCCAAAUAAUAAUAUCUCCCUCGCCUACGAGGAGAAGCGGCGCGAGAUCGAGAUCGAGAUCUCAGAGGAAUCGCGCGAUGGAGAAGGCGAUCGAGAGGCAAAGGAUCCUCCUCACCCACCUCCUCCCAUCAUCAUCAUCAUCAUCGUCAUCUUCGAUUUCUCCGAGCGAUUCGUCGCUUCUCGCGGUAAUCGAUCGUUUUCUCCUCUCGUUUUCGCUGUUUUUGGCUUGGAUUAGGGUUUGGUUUUUGUUUGAUCGGUCGCCGAGGCUCUGUUCCUGAUUGGUGAUUCCGAUCCUCUGUUUACGGAGAUUAGGCUCGAGUUAUUUAUUUAUUUAUUACGAUUUUUCCCUCUUUUGGUUGUGAAUUGGGUGGUUUAUGAGAGGAUUUGGAUGCUUUCCACAGGCUUCGGUUUGUGCUGCGGGUGAUAGUGCUGCUUACCAGAGGAGUUCUUCGUAUGGAGACGAUGUCGUCGUCGUGGCGUGAGUAACUUUACAUUUUUUAGCAACUUUUGUUUUGAUGGAAAAUUUGGAUCUAACGGGAUCAAUAAUUGAUGUUAACCGUGUGCUUCCUUUGGAAAAUCCAGGAUUAAAUUAGUACAAAUAUGAGGUCCAUGUAAAUCUAAGAAAACUACAAAAAUUUAGAUAUUUGUAGUGGGAGAAAGAUGGUUUUCUCUUUUACGUUUUAGGCCUAUUAUUGAGACUCCACCUUAAAGAAGUGAACGGAUAGCUAACCCGUGUCAUUUUCGGUGUUCACUAUCAAUCAUCAGUUAUGCGAAAAUAUUUGUCUUGUUUGGGACCAAAGCAAAUUCAAGGUUAACAUUGCGGCAAUCAAAUGUACUGGUUUAUCGGGCACUUUUUCUGUUGAAUUCAAUGUCCCUGGGUUUAAGUUUCAGGCGGCUUUUCCAUGGUUCAUGCUUUAAUAUUAAUGCUCUUUUUGUAUUAUAUGUGCUCUGAUGUAUAUAAGAUUUGGCAAACACUUACCUUUUCUUCGUUUAGUUCGUGCUCGUUAUUCUAAUAUCUUAUUGUUAUUAUACUAUCUGUUAUAGCCAUCCAGUAAUAUGAGUUUCUGCUGUUAGCUGAAUCUAUUCAUGGUAAGCUAUAUUCCAUCCUGGUCCUGCUAAUUUGCCCUCUUUUUCCAUUCUGCGGUGCCAGUGCUUACCGAACUCCUAUCUGCAAGUCCAAACGAGGGGGUUUUAAGGAUACAUAUCCUGAGGAUCUUCUAACUGCUGUUCUCAAGGUCCAGACUUUCCUGAUUCGUUUCGUUUCGUUAUAUUUGUUGUCUAUAGAGUUUGUUUACUUCGACUGGUAUGGUUUUGUAAUUUUUUUUUUUUCUAACCAACUUCUCUUGUCCCUUCAAUCUUCGCUUUUAGGCACUUUUGGACAAUACUAAACUGAAUCCAAGUGAUGUUGGUGAUAUUGUGGUUGGCACCGUCUUGGCACCAGGUUCCCAAAGAGCAACAGAGUGCAGGAUGGCAGCUUUUUAUGCUGGUUUUCCAGGUAUAGUGGUUUCUUUUGUUGGUAUAAGCAAAGAACGGCCUGUUAAUUGUAGUACUGAUUGUUUUCCUUUGUCAUGCUAGAAACUGUUCCUGUUAGAACAGUGAACCGCCAAUGUUCAUCUGGUCUUCAGGCAGUUGCUGAUGUUGCUGCUGCCAUAAAAGCUGGUUUCUAUGACAUAGGUGAGAUUUCAGUCUGUUAUUAUCUGCUGUAGUUUCAUGGUUAAUUAUCUAUAAUCUCCUGUACUAUGGUCUUCUAUGCAGGAAUUGGAGCUGGACUAGAAUCAAUGACCAUGAACAGUGUUGCUUGGGAAGGAUCAAUAAAUCCGAAAGUAUGCUUCUCCUUUAGUUUGUCCUUAGAUCCUUAAAGCUAGCCCUGUGUUUUUGUGAUUCGAUAUUGAGUUACCGCUAAACGGAUUCAUCCUUCUUUGUCAGGUUAAUGCAUUCCAAAAAGCACAGGAUUGUCUUCUUCCCAUGGGAAUCACUUCUGAGAAUGUUGCACAUCGGUUUGGUGUGACCAGACAGGAACAAGAUCAGGCUGCUGUGAGUUUCAAGGAUCUUAAUUACUAAGCUUCAUAUUUUGAUGCCUCUUUCGUUCGGAAAUACGUAAAUUUCUUCCUUCACUGAUUGUCAGGUUGAAUCUCAUAAGCGAGCAGCUGCUGCAACCGCUUCCGGUAAAUUUAAAGAUGAGAUAGUUCCAGUGACAACAAAGGUAAAUGACUGAGCCAGAUAGUCUAUAGUGAUUAGAAAACUUUGCAUAAUUAUUAGAUGGGGAGCAAAUAUCCAAUUUAAUAAAAAGUAGGUGGGUGGUUCUGUUAGUUUUGCCACCACGGAAUAAUAGAAGUGAGAAGUGUAGAAACCUCAUUGAUAGCUAUAUAGAUAAUCAAAUAGGAAAAUACAGUUCUUGUAGCAGCUUCUCUAACUUCAAUUGACAUUUUUGGCCUCAUUAAUAGUGUAUGUUUAGGACUUAAAGUUACUAAGUUUGGUAUAAUUGAUAUCUCUUUGCAGAUUAUAGAUCCAAAAACUGGAGAAGAAAAACAAGUUACAAUUUCUGUUGAUGAUGGAAUAAGGCCAGAGACAUCGUUAUCCGGUCUGGCAAAGCUCAAACCAGUAUUUAAGAAGGAUGGGAGCACGACUGCUGGUAUUAUGGCACACUUCUCAUGUUUAUGAAGCUCAGACAUGUACAUUGUCUGUUUCCUUAUAAUAUUUAAUUGUGUAGGCAAUUCUAGUCAAGUAAGCGAUGGUGCUGGAGCAGUCCUCCUCAUGAGGAGAGACGUAGCAAUGAGGAAAGGAUUUCCUAUAUUUGGAGUUUUCAGGUUUUACUCUAUCCUGUCAUAUAUAUCUCUAUAAUCUUAGCAUUAGUAACUAGCGAUGCUUUUUGGUUUUUUGAUAAACAUAAUCCCUUGCAGAGCUGCAUCAGCUAAGUGGUAAAUUUGUUAAGAAUAAAAGUUUUUAGGACCCUGAUCUUAUUGUACUGUUCUUUUUUUCUGAUGUUGUGUGGUUCCAACCUCCAUUACCUUUUCUUUGUAUCAAACAAAUCAUUGUCUUCUUUUGCUGACUAGACAAUUGUGUCACUUUAACAUAACAUUGCAUCAUGUUCCCUUCCAGUUGAAAAGCAUAAGUAAUCCACCCCCACCCCUUGAAAAAACAAAGAAAUAAAAAAAAAAAUUUAAAAAAGAAAACUCCCCGCUAAAAAGGAUAAAAAUUGGGUGUUGGUGGUUGGGAAAUUGCUCCAUUUGCUCAAGAUUACUGGUGUAGAUGAUGGCAUCGUUGAGUUAACUGAAUUGAUGGAGAUCAGGGGAAUAUUUAUAGGAGCUUAUUGGUGUAGCUGAACUAUUUUCUGGCUUAUUCAGGAGCUUUGCUGCCGUUGGAGUGGAUCCUGCUGUUAUGGGCGUUGGUCCUGCUGUCGCAAUUCCUGCUGCAGUAAAAUCUGCAGGUCUUGAAAUUGGAGAUAUUGAUCUUUUUGAAUUAAAUGAGGUAACAUUCGGCUAAUAGUGGUUCUUAUCCUUCUUGUAAUCUUGUUUGUUAUAGUUCUAAAUGUUUCUAUGCAUUUUCUGUAGGCUUUUGCGUCUCAAUUUGUAUUCUGCUGCAAGAAGCUGCAGCUGGAUCCAGCAAAAGUAAAUGUGAAUGGAGGAGCAAUCGCUCUUGGGCAUCCUUUGGGUGCAACAGGUAUUUGCGACUGAUAUAAUGCUUAUUAAGGGUCUUAUAUAUGUGUUCUAAGUGUUAGAAAUUGGGUUGAUUUUUUGAUGCCUUAUACUGUUGUUAAGUUGUUGAUUGGUGCGAUAUGUAAACAAACAUAAAAUUGCUGUGUUGUGGUACUGGGAGAUUUUGCAGUACAGUGCUUUGACUUAAAAAAUGCUAGCCAUAGUUUUAGUAAUGUCCCCAGAAUAAGAAAAAUGAUACGUGGAGAUUCUUAAGCAGAAUUUGCCUUCUUUCAUAAUUGAGGUGCUUCAUUGGUUGUUCUGCCUUUGUUGUAACUUAUUAAUGUGAUAAUUGAAUAUGGUGGCAUUUCCUUCUUAUAGGAGCCCGUUGUGUGGCCACUCUGCUGAACGAAAUGAAGCGUAGAGGAAAGGAUUGCAGAUUUGGUGUUGUCACCAUGUGCAUCGGUCGGUGCUCUCUCUGUCGCUCUCUCACACACAUAUUAGCAUAAUGAUUUUACAUUUUACCCAAUUGUCUCGUGUAAAAUGCAGGAUCUGGAAUGGGGGCUGCAGCAGUUUUCGAAAGAGGUGACGGUGUUGAUGAACUCUCCAAUGCCAAGAAGAUCGAAUCCCAAAAAUGGUUAUCGAAGGAUGCUGUGUAAAGCCCUUCAUUUUAAGUUUUGCAAAAGCGUUUUUAAUAAAAAACCAAACUGAGAAAUUAGGUAAAUUAUGGCUUGGGGCUGAUAUGAAAUAUGUCUAUAAGCCCAUGCGAUGGACUCGAAUAGUACAUGAAUACACCACUCAAGUGACCGAACAAAUAACCUUCGUGAUCUUUACUCAUAUGCAUUUGUUAAGGCACAUGUAGAUGCCUCGAUUCUACUCUUUGUUUAUGCACUGCUCAAGCAUAAAUAGCCAUAAGUUUCUUAUGAAGGUUUGAAUAUACCUUUUUUUUUUUGGUUUGAGAAAUAGUAGCUUGCUACCGUUUCAUUUAUCAAGAGCUUUCUUUUAUAUUACUAUAUACCGUCUGUUGGGUGUCUGUUCUGAUGAGAUUUGAUGAGUUUACACUUGGUUUCAUGAUCUAUAUAUUGCCUCCGAUGUGACUCAGAUUUUCUCUCUAAUGUGAAUGAGGCAUAUGAUGAAUCUUGUUUUUAAUUUUUAAAGGUUUUCGAAGGUGACUUGAGCCAAAAUUUGGGACGUAUGCACGAUGGUCCUUCUGGGAGUGUUCGUCUGAAUGGUAUGGUUUCCGGAACUUCUUCUUUUGGUAGAAUGAAUAAGAUCAGCAAAUGCUAUGUUGUGGAAAGUUUCAACUUUGUGGAAUGUUUGAAAAAAGUUUCCAAGCUUUGAGAGGGUGAUUGAUAACUAGAAAUACUUUUACACUUUUACGGCCAAUUGCCGUGUAUCUUUUUUAGCAAUAUUAACACAAUCCAAAUAUAUAGUCAUAUAGAAAGUCCCAAUGCAUAAAAGCUGGUGCUCUUAGGAAUAUACCAACACAAUCCAGAUUUGGAUCAGGCGUGCGCCAUAAAGAUGGACCAAGUUUAGCCCAUCCUACUCUAACAUUAUAGAGUUUGUUAAGGCCCAACUUUAGCCCAAUAUGGAGGAUUCUAUUGGCCUGGGACAUCUAAUUGGGUACAAUUUGUCCUGGCCCAACCGGUUGAUACCUUCCUUUGUUAGCCACCUAACCGGAAUUUUGUCAAUAAAUUGACAUAGGUAUAUUGAUGAUAAAAUUAAGAAAAUGAUAUCAUAAAUAGGCGGUUCUCAUUGAGACAGUUUAGAAAGCCAUAUAAUUCAUCCCGCACCUUAAUAUUAAAGAUCUGCUCCAACUCAAAAAUUUACCUCUCAUAUCUUACCACCGCAACGCGCGGAUUUAGAAGUGACCAGUAAAUUGAAUAAAGUGUUUUCACUUUGAUAUGUAAGUAUAUAUCAAGCCCAAAAGUUUACUAAUGGCAAUAAUUAAGAAGGAAUCUAUGAAUAGUGUUACUUCUAUGUAUAAAUUUGUUAUGAGGACGGAAACUAAUAUGUCUAGAGCAAUUUUUAAUACAAAAACUUGCUUAGAAUAUAUUAAUUUUAUUGGGGAUUAUCCAUAAAUUCUACAAUUUACCGAUUUCUACGUCAACAAAAGGCAAAACAUAUAGUAAUAUAUUAUCCUUACUUUUAACUUUUUAAAAAUAUAAGUGAGUUUAAGGAUUCUCUAAUAAUAAUAACAAGAACGUGAUCUAUCCCUAGGCACAAAUCAAUAGUCCCCUAAACCUCUUGAUUUGGGCACGUAGCCACUCUAUGCUCCCUAUUUUCAUUGUGUUUGAUGCAGCAUAGCUUAGGCUAUAAGAAGUACAUAUAUUCGUGCGCGCGCGCACACAUACACAUAGACAUAUAUAUAUAUAUAUAUAAAAUAAAAGUGAAGGUGCCCAUUUGAUUUUGACAAAUACAAAUAGAGACCUCAAUUUGAUAAGAGCGAGGGUCCAAUAUAGAGUAGACAAAAAGAAUAUAUUCGAAAUGGACUGGUAACUACUUACUCCCAUGAUUCUCUUUUAUGGUCCAUUUUGUAUGAAAUCGACCUAAUUAAAGCCGAAGCUUCAAAUUAAAGUUUCUACUUCUUUCUAGAAUAUAAAGUUUAUCUCAAAAAGAGAAAAAAAAAAAAAAAACUUUUCGAGUAAGUUUAUUCAAGUUGUGGUUUUGCAAUAACCUCCCAUGGGGGGCUACAUUGGUCCUUACCACAUUUGAGCUCUAUUUAAGCUCAUUUUGCUCCUCUAGGUUAAUAAUAUCAAUGUAAUGAUUUAGCUUGUUAGGUUCUUUUAGUUGGAAAGCACUUCCUAAACAAGCUUAAAUAUCCAGUGUUUUUACUCUGGAAUGGUGAAAUUUAAGAUCCGUUUGAUAUUGAGAGCUAUCUAACAUUUUUAGAUAGAAAAAAAUUGAAGCAAACUUGUACAAAAAUAUUUUUUUACACAUUUUAAUAAAACAGCAAAAGUUAUAUCGUAAUUAAAUCAAAACAAUCUAUACAAUGUAUCUGAAACAAACAAAAUAUUUUUUUCUCGUACUUGCUUCCUGUAACGGAUGCUCAAUUAUAAUACUUAAUUCACGACCUUCUAGAUUCUAAAUUCAAAUCUCGUUAUAUUCCAAAAACAAAAAACAAAAUUGCAC